UGGGGUGUCCCGCUCGUCUGGGGAGGAGGAUCACCGGCUAAACCAGUAGUAUUCACAACUGACCCAUUCGAAAAAGUAGCAUUAUCUGCCGUCAAAUCAAAAGUUCCAGCAAAAAUAGUCGAAUUCUGACCCAAAGUAAAGUUCCCAGAGACAUUUAUCACUAGCUCGCAACCCGGAAACAUGCAAUUAACCGUAAUAUUGGGAAGAAUAUUAAAAUUCCCCUUCCCUUGUAUAUACACGUUAUCACUGAUAUUCAAAUUAGAAACUAUAUUGCAAGUAGUAUCUAACGAACCAACUCCUCCGAGAUCAGCUUCGCAAGUCACCGACGGCGGAUGAGGAGGCGGUGGCGGUGGCGCCGGAGGUGAGUAAUCCCGGUGAAACAAGAAUGAAUCGAAGUCGCCGGAGUCGUCAUCUAAGUCAAAAUCGGCGUCUCCGCCACCGUCCUGGACUAAAGUACCAUAACCGCAGCUAGGAAUCGGAAGCAAGCCUAUUAUUAGUAUCACCACUAAGAGUAAAGUGAAAGAAAGUACAGACAUGUCAAAAGGUGAAGAAGACGCCAUUGACUGAUGAAGAUGGGAAUAUUCAUCAGAAAUGAUGGUUGGGAGAGGGAGAAAUGGAUUGCAUCGGUGGAAUUUUUUGCUCGAAAACAAAACCCACCAGAAAAGUUUAUUAGUUUUUCGUUCCAAAUGCGGUUUAACUGUUUGAUAUAUGCCGGUGCGGAUGGAAAAAAGUGGCGCUUUGGGAACGGAGAAUGCCCUAGAAAAAGGGGUUUCUGGUGAGGAGCCAAAGACAACUACUCCCUAGCGGAUUCUGCAGGGCGAAGAAAAGAGGGAGGCAGUUUUUGGGGAAAAUUGAACAUGAGGAAAGCAAAAGAGAGGGCAAUAAAGGUAAAGGGUUAAGGGGGCGACUGAUUACUGAUUAGAUAGGGGACUAGAGAAAUUGGGGAGUUGAAUAUUGGGUUAGUGGUUUAAUGAGAGGAGGGUGAAGGGGUUAAAGAUUAGACUGAGAGAUUUUGAGGUAGAAAGCAUGACUGAUCACAACAAUCACAUCCGUUAAAAACUUGGUGUUGAAUUUUAUAAAUAAUAAAUUGUGAUGACGUUUUCUUUUUUUUGGGAUAAUUUCAGAAACUUGCCUUGAACUAUUCAUAGUAUCAGUUGGCUCCUUUGAAGUUUUUAAAAUCUCACCCACCUCUCUCAAAAUAUUUAGGCCUCGAAAAAUUCACACGUAUGAAGAGAUUAUUUAUUAAAAUAUAUUUCCUAAAAAAAAUUUCUUAACUCCCGUAUAAUUAUCUAUAAAAUUUUUCAAGGGCUCCAUCACUCACUAUAAUCCUUCUAAGUGGUUGAUUUUGACUAAAUUUAAUUUACCACGUUCUUUGUUGUCCCACCAUGAUCUCGAUAUAGAGAAAUAUGGACCAUUAUUAGAUAUCAAUUUAUUUUUCUCUAAUCUACAUAUUUUUGUUUAAAAUUUUAUUUUAUUUUUUGGUUAAGCAAUUAUUAAGAGCUAGGGUAAUGUUGUCACUUUUUGACCUGUGAUGGGAAUAUUUUAGUCUUAUAAAACUGAUAGGCGAGAUAAGUGAAAUUUUAAAAUUUUGAAUAGGAGAACUCAGUGAAAUUAUGCUCCUCAUGGGCAACUCGGUUGGUCUCAGCAAACCUCCUUAGAAGCUGGUGUCCAAUGCCCACAAGGAUUCAAGUCCUAUGGUUAUCGUGUUCGGAAGGAUGGGGCCUCUCCUCCCGGAUGGGAGUGGGAUUAGUUGGGCCCCGUAAGAAUUGGUCCGGACACCCAUUCCGUCAAAAAAAAAAAAAAACUGAGUGAUAUUAUGAAAAAUCUCGGGACAAUUUUUUGAAAUUUUGCCUUUCUUUUUUCAUCUUUGUCUCUCUUUCCCUUUCCUAUUUUUCUUGGCUUUCUGUGGAUUCUCUUUCUUUUUUUUUUUUUAAGUUUCUUUUUUGCGUUGGAGGAAUCUGACAGGAAGGUUUGACAAUUUUUAUCAAAACGAGAAAAAGAAAAAAGCAAGAAUGUUUGAAUUGAGAUUCUUCCUCUUAUUUACAUACAUCUUAUGGUAUCUUCUUUAUAUCUUAAUCAAGGAAUAGAGAGAUUCUUUUCUUUUCUGUUCUUUUUUGUCUAAAAUAGUGCAGCGUGAUAAGUGAUAGGUUGUUUCCUUGCACAAAUGUCUCAUGUUUGUGAUUGGGGCUGAUUCGUAAUUUAAUGAGGAGGAAGAUUAGAUUGACUCAUUGAUAUUGAGGUUGAGUGCAUGGCUGAUUGAGCCACUUUCAGUCAAAGUUUGCAAUUGUACUAAUUACAAAUUGUGAUGGCGCCCUUGUUCUAUACUUUUGUCUCUUUGUUUUGUCGGGGGAAUUUGAAUUAUGAUUUGACAUUUUUUAGAGAGAAAAAAGAGUUAAAAAAAAAUAUGAAGGAAUGACUGAGAAUGAGAGGAUUUUCAAGGGAUAUAUGCAUCCUUUUGUCUUUCUUUUUUGUCUACAAAGUAUGAUAAAGAUAAAUUACUUCUUUAUUUAUUGAUGGGAUGACUGAUGAGAUGUUUUAACUCUUUUUCUAUUUUCUUGUUUUCUUUUCUUCUGAUCAUAAGAAAUUUUCGGUAUUUUGUUAGUUCUUAAGUUCCUAAAGUAAGGAAACGGUCAAAAUAUAACGAACAAGGAACUCAUUGAUGCAAGCCUUUCUUAUAAUUAUUAACUUAAUUUUAAGUCACGAUGUGGCCUUGUUUGGAAUGCAUUUUUCUGGAUUUUUUUGUAGAAAAAUUACAGUAACGAUUUGAUAUAUGUGAGGUGAAAAGGCGAUUGGAAAAUAUGUUUACAAAAAAUAUAGCAAUUUUGCUGUCCAAACAAGGUUGUCUAAAAUAUUAAUUAACAACCAUUUUUCAAAAUUGAAAUUCUAUGUAUAAAUGCAGAAUCCCUCAAGAGGAAAAUGUUGAGAAAGUAAAAUUAUCAAAGGAUAUCACAAAAUGAUCUGGCUUGAUCUUGUUGACAAUGCCACCCACUAUGUCAGAUCGCGAUAUAAAGAAGAUGAUAGGCCUUCGCAAAAAGGGUUGAUAUGACUCAAUUUACAGGUACUCGCCUCGACAUAUACCAUAUGUAGUUAAUUUUCUAAUAUCAUAGAUAUCUAUACUUACGAUAUAUAAAGCAGGAAACUUGACCUAAGGUUUGGAUAGCAAAUUUUUUCAAAAAAACUUUUCAGUUGCAUUACAAACACAUUUUUCAAUUUAUUUUUUUAUCUCACAUACAUCAUAUCACAAAAAAUGCUAUAAUAAUUAUUCCAAAUAAUUAUUUGGAAUAAUGCUCUAUCCAAACAAAGCCUCGAGUUUUGAUGUAAAUGUUUUUUUGUCACUUUUUGAACUUUCAUUUUUGGCCUCGUACGAUCUAAAUUUUAUCAUGAUCACAACUUAUUUCAUUAUAAGUACCAAAGCAUAGCUUUUCAAACAAACUUAUUUUCAUUAUAACUACUCAUAAACACACAACAUAAUUAUACUCUUAAAAGAAAAAAUCUUAAAAGAGCAAAAUCAUGUUCAUUAAUUAAAAAAAUAUAUAUAUGUAAAAUAAGUUCAUACAAAAAAUAAUUUAUUUCUAAAUUGCACAUACAUUGGGUGUCUCCUGUAUGCUAGUGAUAAAAAUUGCAAAUGAAUCGAAACAAAUCAAGUUUUUGGUCUAAUCGAGUUAAGCCUCGACUCAAUUUUACCAAAUUUGAGCUCAUCGAUCUCUCAAUGUAAAACUCGAGUUCGAAUUUGACAGUAAAUUUGAGCCAAGCCAAGUUGGAACUCGAGCCCACUCAUGUUUUAAAAAAUAAUAAUUAUUAUUAUUUUAUUUUAUUUUUAAAAUAAUAAAUAAAAUAGUAUUUUUUUUCUUAACAAAUAAUAAAACAUUAGAUAUAUAUAUGUAAUUUUAUUAUUAUUAAUAUAUAUAUCUUAAUAUAAUCGAGCGACUCGCGAACUAAUGAACUAAGUUUUUCUGUGCUCGAACUCGACUCCAGUUUGAUGUUGACCAAACUCAAAUUGGAUUUUGAUCAAGCUAACUCACAAGAGGCUCGCAAGUAAUUUGACUCGUUUGCAACCCUACUAAUGACUAUAAUUGUUUUGAAAGACUGUUGGAAGAAAUUUGGGUUAGGUUAUAAAGUGGAAGGGAGUGUAAAUGAAAUAUACUAUAUUCAAAACCACUCAUUUAAUAAAAAAAAAAAAAAGUAUCAUACUAUUAGUUGCAUAUAAACGGUUAAAAACAUUAAACUAAGUGUAGAAUUAUGUGAAAGUAACUAUACCUUAGUUUUGGACCGUCGAAUUUCCUUAAAAUAUUUGUUACGGAUAAGGCCCCGUUUAUAUCUUAUCUUUGAAGUGAAGGAUAAGAGUACAUCAAGAAGUCCUAGUUUAUAUGCUUGGCCCCUACAGUUGGCUUUGCGGGUUUAGUUUUCAAAAACAUGUGUGUUGACUAACCUAAAUCACUUGUUAGCAUUGAAUAGGAGUUCAAAAAUUCAAAAGCAGAAAUGAAUAACAAUAUAGACUAGUGCACCUAAAGCUUAUUUGGUCCAAAACAAACUCUCUUUCAUGUAUGUGGUCCAAAUUUGAAGAGCAAAUCUCUUAGGCUUUUACACUAACACCAAAUGGCAUUUAGCUCUAACGAGUAAAAACCAAAUCUUCCAGCAAAUAAAGUGCCCAUAUCCCAUUGGCAACCAUUAUUGACUUUGGCAUCCUACAUUUCAUAGGGUAACAAAACGGACAAAAGGUAUGUGACUUUGUACAUAAAAAUUUAUUCCAGUGUAAGGUUGCCAUCACUUUCGACAUUUUUAUGCGUAUGAAAACAAAUUAUCAACAACAUUGAAACCUUCCAAAACAAAACCAGUGACUAGAUAAUUUGAUUAUUUGCCAAAUGAUUCUUUCUAUUUUGUGACUUUGACAAAGUCACAAAACCAAUUGGCUAUGAGUGAAAUGGCCCAACAUCUUUUAUAUAUAUAUAUAUUAUGGUUGGAAAUCCUUAGAAUAUCAAUGUAGGAUAUACAACUAACACGUAAAGCUAUAAACAAGUCGAAUCGAAUCGAGUAUCUCAUGUUUGAACUCUGUUCGUUAAGCCAUUCGAUCAACGUUCGUGUUCGUACGUUAAUUUCGAACUCCAAACAUGUGUUUGUGUUCGGCUCGUUAAGCAAAGUUUGUAUUCGUGUUCAGCUCGUUUAACAUAAACGAGCCGUUCGCAAACAUGCUUGAAAUGCUCGAAUCCAAAUUAUUUUAAGCCUUAAAUAUGUCAUGCAAAUCAUUCAUCAUUCUCAAAAACAAUUAAAGCACUAAGUGACUAAAUUCUAUUAUUUAUUAACUAUAUAACUAACAUUAACAUAAAAACAACAAAUAAAACAAAGCAAUUUGCCCUCCAAAUAUAAAAGUUCAGCCAUAAAAUUAAUCUUCAAAUUUGUCAAAUGAUAAUUAUGCCCAUGUUCGCGAACAUUCGUUAAAACUCACGAACAUGCUCGUGUUCACGAACGUUCAUUAAAACUCGCGACUAUACUCAUGUUCGCUCAAUUAUUAAUCGAACAAAAAAAUUCGUUCGAACUUGGUUCGUUUAAAAUUUCGAACGAGUCUUUCACGAACACGAACGAGUCGAAAUGAAUCGAGCUACCGAACAGCUCGGUUUGUUGAACAGCCCUCGCAAAUGUGACUUGACAAAUGGGUUUAAGCCAACACAAGAAAUCCCAAGUCACGGGUGAAAUAAAUGGGUAACAAACAAACCCAAGGCCCUGCUCCAAUACCAUGUUAAAUGACUUGGACUCUCAUCUCAAAAUCAAUUAGGUAUGAGUUGAGUGGCCUAAUAUCUUUCAUAGAAAUAUAUAUAUUUAUAUAUAUGGCUAGAAAUUCUUGGAAUAUCAAUGGGGAUAUACAACUAACAAGGAUUAUCUAAAGAAAAGAAAAAAAAAAAGCAGAAAAAACAUAUCUAAAGAGGAUGGCCCGCAUGAAACUUGUACAAAUUGGACAAGGUAAUAGGUUACUUCAAAGAUUUUGAUGGCACCUGCAGAUAUAUUAUCCUAAUGUAUCUUUAUUUUUCCCAACUCUUCUCCCUAAAAUUCUAUUUCUCUAAAAGGAAUGUAGUAUUUUCUUCUCAGUUGGAUCUACACCAAGUAAUGCAGUGAAAUGUGUCCAGCAGAGAAGGACUUUUGAUCUAGUUUCUGAGUUUUUGGAGAAAGUGAAGAAAAGCUGCUCUUUCUUCACAUAAUUAAUUAAUGCUUUAACUGUUUGAGGCCGUAUGGAGUGGGCCGGCCUGAAUUUUAGCACGAACUUACCUGGAAAUGGUUUAUUGUGGGAUUCACAAAGGUGUACACGUACUAAUGAAAACAAAAAUGUGUACUUUGUUUUGGACCACUGAUCCUCCCGAUUGUGACCAUUAAACCCCUCCAAUCAAUUAUUUGUCAUGCAAUUAUCCAAGAAGAAAAUAGACAAUUAUUCAUACUCUACGAGACGGGAUAAGUUGAUUGUGAUGUUCUACAGAAAAAUUUUUACGUUUUUCGUAAAUACGUUUCUCAGUUACUUUUUUACCUCACAUACAUUAAAUCAUUAUAGUAUACAUAUAUAUUUUUUUACAAAAAGUCCUAAAAAUAGCAAUCCAAACGGGUCAGGAUUUCUCAUUUCAUUUAAAAUAAUUAUUUUAAAUUUGAUUAGUAUAGGACUAUUCAUCAAAUACUACGAGGGUAAUUCUUACAUGAAUUUGUUGGCAACAGAUGGGGAUGCAUGCUAAUAAAUUCGUAAAUUACAGCCCCAUCCCCUAAAUCCCAGACAGUACGCGCCAAAAGAUCUCACAUCAAUGGCCAUUUGUUGGAGACAAUCGCCAAAUCUGCAUGGUCCUCCUUUUCUUCAUUUCCUACGUACUUUAAUACUAAAAAUUUAAAACCCAAGUCCAACUUUAUUUUUAGAGGAUAAGGUUCUAUCCAACACGAAACUUUUAGGCCCUUAAAACAUCUCCACUACUAUAAAUAGUUGCCAUGAAAAGUUGCAUGUCUUAGCAUAUUUAUAGUGGUACAUAAUAAACUUAUAGUUACUUAAAAGAUAAUCUACAUAUUGACACGGAUAUUCGUUAAAAUAGGGUUCAGGUAUUAAUAUCUCGACCAAGCAAAAUUAAAUAGGAAAAGUGUAUAAAAAGUAAGACGAUAGUUGUUACGAGUACGUACCUUUACAUAAUAUAUUGAUUGAGAACGAUUUAGGUGUACAAAUAAAUGCCCAUUUAACGCCUGUGUCGGGAAAAUACUAAUUUGAAAUUUAGACAACACAAAAUCUUUUUUCUAGCUGCUUCUAGUGCUGCAUGGAAUGCUUGAGAUUCAAUAGCCAUUGCUUCUUCUUGCAGCUGAUAGGAGCGUGGUGGUGUUACUUGUCAGAUACUAGGAGGUUGAAUCUUGGCACAUUUACAGCCAAUACUGCAAACUUCACCUGUUCACCCCAAAUAAUUGUACUGGUGUCACUAAUUGCUUUGUCUACCUUGUUUCCAUGUCUUAAUUGUUCCUCCACGUACUGCCUUUACAUUCACUGAUUAAAUGCACCUACUUCCGUUUGCAAUUGACUUUGCAAUUUGUGAUUCUUUUUUCUCACGUAACUGAUCAAUUGGAGUUGAAUUGAUGUAUCACUGCUAUUAAUGGAAGGCAAAAUGAAUAAAACUAAUCAUGCAAGUAUAUUAAAGAGAAUGAUGUUACUCAAGUUCAAUAACUUGAGCAAUCAAGACUAGAAAGAAAUUUAAGAUUUCUUAAUUUCAUUCUUGUUAGUAACAAUUACCAACUUUUUUAAUUUCGUCUGCUUCGUGCAUUAAUUUGCACGUACCUGCAUGCAUGCUUAAUUUGUCGACAAAUGCUUAACAACACCCAGUUAAUGACGGUUUAGAAUAUAUAUAUAUAUAUGUAUGUAUAAUAGUAAUUUAUAAAUUUUUUAGGCAGUACAAUAUUGGCAACCUUUCUAACUUCCUGGGAUUCUCUGCAUCUUUUUGGAAAGAAUGUACCGAGAAAUUCAAGGGAUUAAAGAAACACUUCUUGAUUGCAUAUAAGGUCUCAAUGAUGAUUGUUGUUACUUGUUAGGUCCUCCAAACAUAUAUAGAUAAGUACAUGUGAAGUUGACGUCUACUUUCCUCCUCGAGGCCUCCACUUUUUACGACUAAAAUCCUGCAGGACUACUGCUCAAGGAACUGAAGGCCAUGGGAACAAACAAGUUCCAAGGGCAUGUCAUGGAAGUUAGGGAAUCAACAACACCCAAAUGAACAAUCAUUUCUAGGGUACCCAGAAAGUAGGAAGGUCAUUCUUUCCUUUCCUUUUUCAGGGGAACAUUGAUCAAAGCUAAGAACCAAAGAUCAUGUGAUGUACUCAGUAUAAACUCACCUUGGAUCAAGAUUUUGUUAUAUUCAAUGUCUUAAUAUGUAUAUAUAAAUGUCAUAUGAAGACUCAGUAUUACUUUACACUAAUGUUUAGAUUAUCAAGACGAAGAAUUGAAUAAAUAGGUGUAUGUCAAGAUGCAUUGCACAACGAAAAUUCAGCAUUCAAGUGGAGAAAGGAAAAUGAGCAGUAAUAUCAGUUUCUGUCUGGUUUUUAAGGGGCAAUGACAUUAAAUUACACUACGUUAACACAGAAUGUUCCAAGGUGGGGCUAAGCCAAUUUUGGAGCCUGCUAAAUUUUACUAAUGCAUAUUUCCUGGCCAACAGCUUCACGCCCCAUUUCACAAACCAAGGUUCAAACCUGGUUGCUAGGAUUGAGGCAAGGAGGGAUUAUGGAGGAAGGGGGGGGGGGGGUGUGGGGGUGGGAGAGGAAAAAGAAAAAGCCUAAAUCUUGUUGAUUCCUGAAGAAUUGUACGUAUUAGUUAUAGCAGGAAGCAUACUGUCGAUUUAACAAAUGCUGAAGGAAAUACCAAGGCAAGCUUAUUGAUACACAAGAUAGAGAAUAAACAAGUUAGAAUGGGGGAGAAAACUCGCAGUUUCGGGCUAAGAGAGAUGAAAAACAAUAGUAGAAACAAAAAGCAGGGGAAGUGUAUCUGUAAUAUUCAUGUACAAGACAAACUACACAGAAAUUGCUCAAUUUUGGCAACUGCUCUUGGAAGUUGGAAUACACCAACCAAAGAUCACUUGAUGAGGAAGAAACAUCCUCUUAAUCUUUUCAGUGCAGUUCUAAUGGCUGACCAGCUUGACAAAGUUGACAGGAAUCAAGUGACUAAAUGCCAAACUUGUUGGCUCAUAAAAUGGCGUACUUCAGACAUAACUGCAGCUACAUAUUCAUAUAUUGACUUAAAUCUUGAAAGACAUCGUUUUUUCUUAGUUUUGUCAGCGCUCUUCUUUCUAUUUUUCUUACCCACUCUUUGCUUACAGAAUACAGCCUCCCAAUCUCCUCAAGUGACUUCCUUUGAUGAGAUCUAAGCCCAAACCUUAGGACUAAUACUUGCCUUUCCCGUGGCUCUAAGUCUUUCAUAAGGCCAUACAUGCCUUGUAGCAUGUGCUGUCUCACCACUGUUUCUCCUGGGCUUCUCAUUGAUGUAUCAGAUAUGAGUUCCUGCACCAAGAGUUCCAAGGCCAUUAACCUCAUAAACCUGUGUAGGGGAACUGUGGGGGAAAAAAAAAACUCUUGUGGACUAUAAAAGACAAACAGGCGCAUCACUCUCUAGUUAAUUCCAGCCUAUGGAUAAAAUACUUAUAAUAACCAAAACAUCUAAGAUGCUAUUCAUUUAUGAAAAUUUCAAGAAGCAUGCUGAAGAAAGUUGUCUAAAUUAAUCAGAUCAUCCUUGCUUUCCUCUGUAAGAAAUCUACAUAAUAUAUCAACACACACACAAUAUAUAUAUAUAUAUAUUAUAAUUUUAGUUCGAUGUUUACAACAGAAAAACCACAAAAAGCUAUUUUAUGUUUUUAUACAUAGUUUGAGACCAGGAAAUUCACCCAAGAUAUGGUGCCCUAAAAAAAAGUUGCUUUGUUUCUUCUCCUCAGGGGUACCCAAAAAGCAUAGGGCUUCCUUGUCUGUCUGAUGACAGUACUAAACAUGAUUUUUAGAGAUACCCCCAACCCCCCCCCCCCCCCCAAACAAAAAAAAAUCCCCAAUAGGAUCCCUCGGACAACCAUUUUCUGACAGCCAAGCCAAGUGGCACUGUUUCUGAUGAGACUAAGCAAACAGCUACUAAAUUAAAAACCUGUCAUAAAUGUAAUCUAAACAAAUAUAAUCAUCAAGAAGGAAGAUUCUAUAAAAUAGAGAAUGCCAUACGUACUAAACGUUUUGCACUGCUAGAGUCUCCCACUUUCUGAUCGAUCGAACCAACAAUCCUGAGGCAUUUGCUCACUGACAUAAUUUUAGCAGUAGAGAGACCAGUGAACUUUGCAAUUUCAUUAACAUCCGGAUAUUUUCCGUGGCUGCUCUUCAGGGCCUUUCGAGCUUUCUGUAUUUGACUUAUUGCCUUGCUCAAUGAUGACUGCAUGAAGAUCAGAAUAAAAGAAGUGGAAACUCAGGUUUCUUUCUCCUUGUAUGGACUUUUAAAAAAGAGACGAUCUCACGAAAAUUAAAAUCACAUACAGGAAUUCUAAUUCCUCUUGCAUGUUGUGCUACCACCAUUGAGAUUGAUUUCCUUAUCCAAUACUGGACGUAGGUUGAGAACUUGUAUCCCCGUGUGUGAUCAAAUCUUUGAGCUCCUUGCAGGACACCAAGAUUUCCAGCCUGACAAACAUGGUUAAAACCUAGAAAAUCAAUCUUCAUAAACAGAAUAAGAUAUAAAUGAGAAUAAAAUUUAAUAGGACCAGACUCAGUUUCUCUCCAAACUAUUGACAACUUUUCUCCUCAUUCCUGACUACUGUGUCUAGAAUUAAACUGUUGGAAACAAAUACCUGCCGGAAGAAAUGCUUGACUAAAUAUCAUUAAGGGGAAGCAACUACUUCCUUUUUGGUGUCCUGUCAAUCUAAUUAUUCUUCCUAUUUUCACACAAAUGCAAGACAAACAUUUUUCAUCGCUGAAAGACAAUUGCAAUUUAAUUCAAUCGACCACAUGAGUAGACAAUUAAACUAACAGGCAGGCUUGCUUGGGUUCUUUUGGGACAUGGAAUGAGGUUUUGAUAGGAUUGUGAUCUGGCAAUAUCACAUGUUUAAUUCACUUUUGUACAUGGAUCACUUAUCCUAUUUUAUUUCCUCAACCAUGCAUGAAUUGAGUCAUGCUCCAUUGAAAGGGGAUUAUUAUCUUCUUCUUGGCCGGAGCUACCUAUUUAUAAUCCUAUAGAACCAAACAUGAGACUCAUUCAAAAAGAAGAGACAACCGGCAUAACCCUCGGACAACUGAGCCUUAAGAUGUCUUAAUUCCCUCAAUCCACUCCACAAGUCAAUUCAACCCUAAAAGCAUUUUUACUCUGAACAAAAUCAACCUUGACAGGCACAUCUCAGAGCAAUGUUGGACUCGGUUGAGUUGUUACCUAACUAUUUAUAAAAACUGAGCUCGAAAAUUGAGCAGAGUGCCAAGGAGAAAAACUUGGUUCAGAUUGGAAGCACCGAAAACCAAGCAUAUAGCAAUUCAAUCAUAUUUUCUUAUGUCUUGAGUAGGCAUUUUCUGUAUUUUCAAUAGCUUGCCAUAUUCUAAUUUGAAACUUUAUAUCACAAUGGCAACAAUUAAGUUUAAAUGAGAACAUAUGGGACACCAAAUGUUUAACUAUAUUGACUUUUCAGAAUAAAAGACAUAAAAUUGUGAUCUCAAAUGCAUGUCAAUUCAUCACCAACAGAACUUUUAAUUUGGACAGGCUUGGCAACCUAGUUGGUCCAUCUACACAUAAGAGAUCCCGAAACUCAGUCACGGUUGUGUCAUUAGAAACUUGUAAGAUUUAUUGGCUAAUUAAGCAGUUAUUAAUGUAUAGUGCUGAACUGAAUUUACCAAUUAGAUUAAUACCAAACAUAAAUUGAAUCAGAUUCUCAUUUGCUCAUGAUAACUAAAAUAGAGCCAGUUUCUGCCAGAUGGUUAAACACAUUUCACACUUUUGAAAAUUAAGUGGAGUUUGAAGAACCUACUUUGGCCAGGCUGGAUUAAUUUUUUGUCACAAGCUAUCUCAUGAUGAUCAUCAGACUAACACUUUAACGAAAGGAAUAAAGAAGAGCGGGAACGACCAAAACAUAGCUGAACACAGUAAACUCCAUAUUACCAACCUGAACUAAAUCUUCAAAGGCAACUCCCAGUCCCCUGUAAUUUCUAGCAAUGUAUAAAACUAAAGAACGUGUGCUUCUUAGAAGCUCAUCCCUACAAUACCAACCAAACUGCAGAUGUUGCUGCAACACCUGUAUAUUAACUUGAGCAGCUUCUGCCCAGUUACUCAUGCCAACUACCUGUCCAGUGUUCUCUUCAACUAUUGUCCUGAUUCUUUCAAGCUCAGAAACUAACUGCAUGUAAAAAAUAUUGUCCUCAGCCUGUGUGAAAUAUGAGAAGCAGAAAUUAGUUAUCAGUGAAAGACAACAAAACCACCUUAACACCUUGAGACAUUUCUGCCUCAGUUCGAGCAAUUUUCAGGCUUCUACUUCUAGAAUCGGAUGAUUUCCUCCAGGAGAAAAUUCAACCUGUUGAGCAUCCUCUAGCGUACUUGAGUACUUUUCCUGCAUAAAUUUACCAUUUCCUUUAUCCAAUGGCCUCUUUCUUCUUGAUUUUCUUUUUCUUUCUUUACAGAGUGAACAACCUUCUUACCCACAACAUCUUCCACUGGGCAAUUUAUUUGAGAUGCUUCAACAGGCUUAGUUGCUUUGUCAGACAGAUCAUAUAAGGUUGAGGGCUUAAGCAUCCUACAUAGACAGGUCUGGAAUAACUCCAGAGCCCCAAGUCUUUCCAAUUGCACCAGAAUAUCUUCUUCCAACUUAGGACCCCUGAAUCUGCAAUUGUCUCCUCCAACACAUCAAGAUUUUUCAUCAGUAAACCAAAAUGUAAUGCUUUAGUAUUCCGUAAACUUGCAAGAUAUAUUGAAUUGUUAUUCUCUCUCGAGCUUGAGAUAUCAUUGUGAGCCAUAUUGCAUGAACCAUGGUAGGACCAUCUGCUAACUGCAUCCUGGAUGAACAGUUACACAUAAGCAUCACAAGUUAAAGUCGGGAGACAGGGAAAAGAAUGGAGAAUAUGAAACUUGAGUAUGUUACGCUGAGAACUCAGCAAUUAUUGAAAAGGGAAAGAAACCUCCAUGUCUUCUGUUUCUGAGUUAUCAUUCUCACGGGCUUGCGUGGCUGACGAACACAUCUUGACUCUCAUUGGAUCACUUAACCAGGUUGUAGUAUCGCCGUAGGCAACAGAAAAGGAAGACAUUUUUGCUGACUCAUAAACGGCCUCCCAGCCUUUAACUGCACCAUUUUAAGAGUAGGUGAACUAUUUAACAACUUCUGCAUGGGACAGAGUUAUAAAAGAAAACAAGAACAAGUAAAUUUCAUGCAAGCUAAACACAACUAGGCUAGAAAUCCACCUGAAAGAAUAACAAACAUAGAUGAUAAAACAACACAUGCAAAUACUUCAAACCAGAAAUUGCACAUGAUUUCCUGUCAAGAUGAACAUUUAUAUGAUAUAUGUCUAUAGCAACUACUACAAAUUCAAUUUCCCAAGAGCUUGUGAAAAGACUAAAAAUUCAUUAGUAAAACGGUGCAAAACUCCAAAGGUACUUAUAAAAUAACUAACAAGAUACUAUUUCCCAACAAAUUAUGCGUAGCCUUAGAAGCACAAGAUUGACCAAUAUCAAUCACCAGAUACGUUCGGUUCCCUUCAAAAUAUUGUCCACCUAUGAAACUAUGAGUCUUGACUGUGGACAUCCAGAAAUUAUGAUGAUAGGAAAAGUGAGAAAAUAAUUGCUAUUAAAAGACAUGAAAAUGAAAUGGAAUCCUUCUUAUUUUUCAAAGAACUAAUAGGAAAACAUUACAGAGAAACAAAUUGCAGUUAACUUGAUACAACUGGGCCCCAAUUUUUUUCCCCUUUUAAAUGUUGCUUUUCGCUCCUCGAAUACUUAAGACAAAAACGUUGCUGAUAUUGUAAUUCAAAAGGGUACUGGUUUGAUAGUUAAGUUAGUAAGGUGACAUUGGAACUAUUACUUGCUGUUGCAAGGCUGCUGCCCGCUUCGCUCAUGAAAGAUUUUUUUCCACAAAAAGCAAGAUACUUGUCCAGAGGUAAUGUUAAUUGCACAGCAACUGAUAAGAAGGGAAACAGUUUUAACAACUAAUAGGAAGCAAACAAUGAUCAAAUGUUAUACAAUAAAAUAUCCAAUGCCUCAAAAAACUGUAGUAAUGGAAGUAUGCUACCUUAAAGAAUUUCAGUGCACACAAAUGGCAUGAAGGUCCUAUAGGAAACUAUUUACGAAUAAAGAGCAUGACCCCGCCAUAUUAAUCUUCUAGGGCCUGAACUGCUCAAAUUUCUCCCCUGAACUAUUUGUGUCUACGCUACAACCAGAAUAGUCCUAAGAAUGAUCAAAGGCGCUUACUUGAAACCUACACCCUCUUCCAGGCCCAUCACACUUACAAGGAACACAAAAAACAAGAACUGGACCUUCAAGCAAAUUAUCUAGCUGCCUCCCAUUCUGUUCUUGGAUCCUUCUUAUUUGCAGGUCAUUUGCAACAAAUUAUCUCUGUGAUAUACGUCAAACCACAUCAAAUGCCUGACUAAUCUUGCAGCACCCGACCUUCUCUAACAAUUGUAUUUUGUCGAAACCACUCCCCAGUCCCGAGCACCCAAGCGACACUAAAAUUGUUUUGAGAUUACUUUAUCAGCAAUAAGAAUUUUGGUGGAAAUUGCAAGCUUACCUACUCUAAAUCUGCAAUAAGGACCCAAUAAACCGCUGAAUAAUAGACGUUUUCUCCUUUACUAUCUUGCACCAAGGACAAUAGAUUACUAAAAAUGGCAAACUUUGUGUGCAUAGGAAAAACUCUUAUUCCCAGUUUUUCACAGGAGCAAUCCAGAAUACUAGUCGACGUGAUACUCAGCUCCAUGAAUAACCAGUUUCAGAAUAGACCCUUUAUCACUAAGAGCAGGUAAGUGCUACUACAAGAAGCAAAUGGAAAAACAGGAAAUAAAAAAUACUGUGUUUUCUCUGCAGCCAAAGUUAAAAGAACCCACGUGAAUUUGAGGAGGGCCAAGAUGAUGUCUUGGGUGGAAAAGGAAAGCUGGAUUGAGAAACCCCAUUUCGGAGUCAGCCUAAAACCCAUACCACGAGUGUACUCGAAUCCCAGAAAGAAGGAGAAUGGUGCCCAUUAAAUCUCAUGGCGGUUGGAAGUUAAGGUGAGAGUCGGUGGAUGCACAUUGCACAAGUCGUGUCAGCUCUCAGCCACUGGUUCCCCAUCUCAAGCCAGAGGUCAAGAGGUUCGAGUCCGAACUUUGAAUAUCUCCCGAGCCGUAAGUAGAAACUAGAAUUCUAACCUUUUUCACCAAUGUAUGCUGCAAUACUUCCCAACCAAAGCUUAAAAUGGUUAGUGAGAAACUUUGCAAAUCUUACCUUUGACAUCAAAUGGACCAUCCAAUGGGCUUUAGAAAAAUCAAUAGCUGCCUUAACUGAUUCUUAUUUCCUAAUUGGAAGAUAGAUCAGCGUCAAUUGUGAUGCCUUUGAUUUUUGUCCCUGCACUGCAGGUAAACAUACAUUUUUCUUGUUACUACUUGUAAAUAAUUGGACUGUUGGCUGAGUACUUCCUUUCCCAACAAAACCAAGGAAGCUAAGGGUGCAGCCAGCAGAAAUCUCGCAUUAUUGAACUUUUCACCAAAUGGAGCCAAACUUGCUGAAAAGAAUUUAGCCCAAAGUAGAGAUCUUGCAUUCAAGGAUAAGUAUUACUGCAUCCUAGCCCAACUUUAACAGCGCCAUGCAGCCUUGGACUAAUACCUUUCAAACCUACGAGUCUUCUCCACACUUUUUUGUUGGACUUGUAUCGGUUGUGGGCGCCAAUCCUAACAAGUCUAUGGGCUGUUUACAUGCAAGCCCUUGACAAACUUUCAUGUCUCCCUUGCUAAAACUGAAAGAAUAAAUUUUAUGUACACUGAGUGAGUGAGUGAAUGAGAGUGUGCAUACAAUAUUUCAAUUGGAUCCACAAUACAUACGUAAAAUUUAAAUUUAGAUUAUAUAUCAUGCAUCCAAUAAUAAAAGUGCAUAUAUAGUUAGUGUAUAAAAAAUUAAUUCAAAAUAAAAAUAUAAAAAUUUAAAGAUUUUAGAUUCCUUUAAAUCUUCGGAUUUUAAGAAAUCUAUAUAUAUAUAUAUAUAUAUAUAUAUAUAUCCCCUCCCUUCUCUCCCCUCUGUAUAUAUUUCCUGACAGUGAAUAUAUACUAUUAUCGUUAGAUUCAUGGCGCAUUCGUAAAAGUUAAAAUUUUAAAUUUUGUAUAAUUAUUAUUCAUCUAAAAAAAAUAGUGUAUAUGCUCUCAAUGUAGUAAAGAUUAAUUCUAUAUAUGUUGUAGUAAUUUAAUUUAUAUGAGAUAAAAAAAUAAUUUAAAAAUAUAAAUAAAAAAUUUUUUGGAAGAAAAAUGAAAUCCAAACAAGGCCCAAGCCGCCGGUCCGGUUGUGGUUUGUGGUUGUGGAUAAGCAUAAACGUGAGAUGGGUAAAGUGAAAGCAAAAGCAAAGCUAGGAAGAAGAACAAAAGAAGAGUCAAAAUCAUGAGGAUCUCAGGACCCCCCGUGGGCCCCCACUCAAACCCAAGCCAUAUCCGAAAACUCCACUCCACGCGUUGACACGUCGCCCUCACGCUCAUUAAACAGGGCAGCUGACUAUGCCACCAACCACGUGUACCCACCCAUUGACUAUGGUGCUCCCCUUGCACGUGACCGGAUGCCACGUCGGAUCCGUACGGAUAUUUUUUGUGGUCGCCCAAAACCAAAGGAUCAUCAUGUGGCUUUUCAUAUUUUGUUUGUUAUGUCGUAACAACUUUUUUUUUUUUUUUUCCCGGAAGCCAUAGAUGAAUUUUACAAAUGAUCGAGACUUUAUAAUAUUUGAGCACCGGCCCAAUUAGUUAUAUAAAAUGUACCAUGACGGAGUAACAAAAAUUCUCUCCUUAUCUAUAAUUAUACUUAGAGCAUAAAGUCUAAUUCGAUUACAUAGUUAUGUCGUAAUAACAACUUUGGUCCUUUUUGUUCUUCAAGAUUUGUUGUCAGUGGGUGCUUCAUAAGCAUUAGUGGUUCUUAUUGUAUUGCAGAUUUGUUUGUCUUGGUUUUUAUGAUUUUUUAGAUUCAGAUAGUAAUUUUGGUUGUUUGAUCUUUCUCACCAAAUGGUAUGGUGAAAUUAAUCUUUGUCAAUUGUUUCGUUAAUUUACUUUUUUAUGUUUUUUUUUUUUACUUUCUUCUGUUUCAAAUAAAUCAAAUUAAAAAUAUUCAGGUACUAUACCUUUUUAUGGAAUGGUUUUGUGCUUUGACCAACAAAAUUACAACCUUGUUUGGUAGAUAAGUUUUUUGUCAAGUUUAUCUGCUAUAAGUUUUUUAAAAACUUUAACUACGGUAAUCUCAAAAAACUUAUCAAAAUUUUUAAAAUAUACACUUCAAAAUAUUCAGAAAAAACACACUUCAAAAAUUUUUUAAAAAACUUCUGCAAUAAGUUACAGUAAAAUUUUAGACAGACACAAAAAAAACUCACUUGCCAAAUAGGACCUACAAGAAACCUUGUACGAUAGCAUGGUUCAAACUUGUGUUUGUGAACACAUACACACCUUUAAUUAUUAUUGCAUGAACUACUUUAAUCUUUAUCUACGAUUAUAGGAAUUAAUUGUCUGUAUAUUGUAAGUGUAUAUGUUAUCACUAUUAUAUAUGUUCAUAAGCAUACGUGUGUAUAUCUUAAAAUUUAAAUUUUAUGUAUUUAUCAAGCAUCUAAUUACGAUAAUAUAUUCACUCAAAGUGUAUAUAAAAUUAAAUGAAACAUUCACUCUUCCAAAAAAGUUGCCCAUUUUAAUUAAUAAGAAUUUAUUGUUUAAUAUACUGUCAGUAUAUAUAAAAAUUUACUUAUAAGAAUAUAAUUGAUCUUUUUAUGAACCAACAGUAUAUAAAUUAUCAAGCUUGAAAAAAUGCAUCAUUUUUCACGUUGGGGCUUGCAAAAUUGCUAUUAUACGCUUUAAACUUUCACGUUCAAAUCGGAUCACUCGUCACCUCAACCAUAGCAUGAGAUGGUAACAUGUUUGAGUAGGGUGAGGAAAAGUGUACGACAAUUAAAUCAACUUUUAGUCAAGCAGUACAAAGGAAACAGGAAGUACUUUUUGCAACUUGGCAUUUUGCUUAAGAGUGUGAUAAUAAAUUGGGUGUCAAGAUUUAGUGGUCGUGUUUAAGGUUGUUGUUUAUUAAUUGGCUAUCAAGAUUUAGUGGUUGUGUCGAAUCGCUUUAGAGGUAUUUCUUUUGACUUUAAGUUUUAAGGAUAAUGCAAUUCAUUUUUUUAACUUCGUGAAUAAAAAUUUGAAUUAAUUUUUUAUGCAUUAACAAUCUACAAAUUAUUAUUGCUGGAUACAUGAUAAUUAAUUUAAAUUAAAAUUUAAAUGUUUUUUGGUGCUUUAGAUGGCCACGGCCUGUUACCUAGAAACCCCAUGAUAUCAGCUGCUAAAAUUGGUCUAAAGCUCUGUACUGGACCUUCAAUCCAAGUGACUCCAGCUCGUCUUCGGGCUUUCCUUUGCGAGGAAGUCUGUGCACAUAUUUCCUUCCCGCCAAGAUUUCCCUUUGUUAUUUCAACUGCAACACGUUAACGUCUUUGCCUUUUAAUUCAAUGUAAAUCUAUUGUCGAUUGUGAAUAGUUUGCCACAUUGUUAUUGUUGUUGUAAAUAGUUUCUCGCCCCUCUUUAUAUCAUUCUCAUCUCCAACUAUAUGACACAUGAUUCGAACCUUAAAUCUAAGAACAAAAGAGAGUCUAAGGGUGUGUUUGAUGAAAUUGAAAUUUAAAAUAUGAAUUUAUUAAGUUAUUAAAUUAUUAAGUACUAAAUAUGAUACAUUUUUACUGUCAUUUGAGAUAUCUUUUCUUUUUUUUUUUUUUUUUUGUCGGAGACGAUAAACCUAAUUUAUCCUACACUAAGGGGAAGGGGGCGAGCCUAAGGAGGUUCAGGAAUAAGUCGGAGGGGACUGAACCACCAUCGGACUAGAUGGGUGCACAGCACACCCGUCUGAAUUUUUUGAAGACAAGCCAUAGAAAUGUGACAUUUUUUAUAGGAGGCAAGGUUUCGAACUUUGUCUCCCAUCCCACCAAGUAGGAGGUGCCCAUUGAGCCAAAGACGGGUGCAAAGCACACCCGCCUUGAGAUAUCUUCUCAAUGUCUACGAAUUUGUAUAGUUUGUCACAACUAACAUUGAGUUGAGAUCCUCUUUAGUUUUUUUUUUGGUAUUAUUUCUUUCAUAAAGAAGAGUCAAGGGAGUGACAUUACUUUAAGUUAGUUUAGCUCUAAGAACAAAUCGAGGGACUAAUUUAGUUAAAUUAAUUCGCAAAAAGGUUAUGCAAUUGACUGCAUUUGAAUCAAUUUUAAAACUAAUGAGGGGGAUUGAUGUUGUAGCUUUUGUAACAAUAGGGGUGCAAAGUGGGAUAGGGAGAUAGUUGAUGGGGGUUUACAAUAUUUUACCUUAAAAAAGGCAGUGAAAUUGCCAUUAUAAAUUUUGGAGCUAAAUUGGCAAAGGGCAAAAAUAAAAAAUAAAAAGCCGUGAAAAAGAGAGUUGCAGAAGAUGCGAGCAGCAGAAGAGGGAACUCCCCCAAACAGGGAGAGUUAACAGAGUAGUGACGGAAAAGUAAACGACCAAACCAAAUCCCAGAACCCCCGCCUAAAUCCCUAACCUUCGAAGAAGAAAGAAGAAGUAGAAACCCCAAAACACUGAACAAAGGAACAAUGGUAUACUUUUCUGGUUUCACCAUUCGUUUUCUUCAGUUUUUUUCUCCCGACAAUGGAAAUUCUGCGUUUCUAGUUUCUCAAGAUUUUUUUUUUGAAUUUUUGGAAUUUCAGUUUUCAAUUGCAGCAAUUAACGAUACAGACUCGAAAAAGCAGUGGGAACCUCUUGCUCCCACUAAAGAAGCCCAGGUAAGAUUUUACUUCCUACUAUGUCCUUCCAUUCAGCUAUUGUUGUCAUCUUAAAAUUUACUUUAUGGGGUUCAGUGUUGUUGUUGUUGUUUUUUUUGGUUCUUUACAGUUUGAAAUAUUGCAGAUUCUUAGUCAGUCUUGGUGGUAUGGCUACGAUAUGCAAUAUGUUUACUGUUUAGGUAGUUUUUUGUGGGCAUAGUGGGAGCUAAACGUAAUCAAUCAAGAACAAAGAAAAAAGUGCAACUGAAACCCUUUCCGCAUUCUAUUAACAAGAACUGAAGUGGGAUCUCGAUGUUCAAAAAGCUUGUAAUCCCUCGUUCUCUAUUUCAGUCGGUUUUGGCCAGUUCACCUGUUUGGUUUCUGUUUAUGAUAGAAAGAAGUCGCAAUACGCGUGCAUACACGCAAAAGCUGUUGUUCACUCUUUGGGAGCUGGUUUUGAGUUGCGAGGACAAAUGAUGAGAUUCAACUGUCUUAUGGUGGUUUAUGGGCGUUUUGGUGGUUGAGGGUGGAGGAAAUGAUAGUGCAUUGGUGUGCCAGUGGUAGAGUUUUGAUUUGGUUCAGGAAACCUGUUUUGCCAUGGAUAGGGCUGACUUGUAUUUGAUUGUAAACAACUAUCUAGCUUGACCUUGAUAUUGAGAAUUUUGGAUUUGAUUGGGCUGUUAUUAGGCAUCUUUUUGGUCCAUUUUAUGCUCAACUGGGUUUUAGGUGGCUCAUUGAGUGGGUUAACAUUUGGAAUUUGGAGGUGAUUUGGCAUAGGAAGUGGUAUAGUUGCCAAAUCACAGAUUACUAACAUAGAAGAGGGCUUGGGAAGAGGUAUUUGAAUAGUCGAGGUGGGAAGAGUAGAUACAGAUUUUGAAAUGUAAAGUCCUAGGAAAUUAGGAAGGUCUUGGAAAAAAACUUUAUGCUGUUUCAUCCUUGGUGUGCUAGAGGCAGUUUUUGGGUGUCAUUAAACGUAAGGAAAUCAGAUAGCUCGGAUGAGAAUCAAGGAAAAAUAUUGCAUCUGAAUUCUUUGCAUGUUAAGGAGGCUGGAAUUCUAUUCUAACUGCGUAGUUGAGGCAGCCUUUUAUGAGCAAAUCUCUUGUUGGCUGUGAUUGUGUUCGUAAUUCAUGUGCUUUGAUUGCUUGUUCUAGCAUUGUCAUGGUUAACAGGUGCCUCUUUACUUCAAAACAAGAUAAUGAAGAUUAAUUGUGGUCAGUUUAUGCUUACCACCUUACUAGCAACACUUUUUCCAUCUCAAGUUUAUCCUAUGGCUAGUCUGCGAAUAGCAGUUUCUUCAAUCCGUGAAUAUUUAAGUUUCUACUGAGAAGUCGUCUAUAAAAGUUUUACUUUGCACCACUUUUGGUCCUAAUCGUUUUGCCCUUAAUUCUUUUGCCCCAGUAAGCUAAAUCAGAAUUCUUAAAUAUGCAGUACACGAAAAAUUUCAAGCACUGACCCACCUACUAUCUGCAUGCUUGGAGAUACUAAUAUUUACAACAAGACAACUGAUGAUAUCUAAAGAAGGACAGAAAUUUGAAUUCCAGGAGAUAAUACCAUAGCAGAAACCAAGAGCAUAGUUUAACAGUCCGAUAGCAAUUUGAUAGAGCACUGAGUAGAAAGAGUGACAUACUAAUUGUUUGUUAAAUAAACAAGUAGGAUGAUGAUAAAUAAGACAACAUGAAAUGACCUGGGCUAGUACAUGCUUAAGUGUGGUUGCAUCGAGAACGCACACUAAUAUAAAGUUGAACAGGAAAAAUGACUAUUAUAGCUUCUAUAGCAAGCACAGUAGCAAUGAGUUGUUUAUGGAGUAGAAUUCAAAAUUAAUCUCAUUUUCUUGAUAUUUUAUGAACAACAUUUUCCAAAUGGGAAGAUAUCCAAAUUUUUAUGAUGCUUCACCUACCAUCUGUUUAAAUGUUUAUGUGCAUAGCUAUUUUUGGAUAAAUUGACUUGUAUGAUUUCAGGAAUUUCAUCUAUCACAAAUUUAUCAUGAAGGGCUUGCAAAAUUGCAAGCUAAAGACUACAAAAAGGCUCGUGAACUUUUGGAGUCUGUUCUAAAAGAUCCUAUGGUAUCAAGUGCUCAGGUAGUUUAUGUUCUUUGUUAACUUCUUGGUGUUUCAAAAUUUUAUUGCUUCAUCUAUUUGAUCCUUGCUCACUCCAUUUCUUAUCUUGUAGGUGGACAAUAAUGUUAGUGAUGGUCAUCUUUUACAGCUCAGGUUUGGGUUGAAGCAAAAUUCUUAGAAACAGAUGUUUUACUUAUUGUCUUUUUAAUUUUUGACUUAUGCACUCACAGUUCAUGAAGUUGCUUUCUUAAUAAUGUCCAUGGCAUGCUAUGGGUGAAUGUUAGUGAUAUGAUUUAUAUUACCAUGUCGACUUCAGAUCAACAAUGCCUUUUCCUGUGAAAAAAUGAACACUUAGGCUCAUCUGCAAUAAAAGUCAUUUCCAAAAUGUUAGCAUCUUUUUUUUCUGGAUGUGUGUCAACAGUGAAAGAGUCGAAAGAACAAUAACUAAAUGGUGGCUUUAUUAACCGGCUUUUUUGAACCACCCUUUGGUUUUCUUUGAAGCUUGUCCAUUGAUGUUGAUGUGAAAAUUGUUUACCUUGUGAAAUUAGUCAAUGACUUUAUGCUUCCUGGCGUACAGUCUGUUGGAAAUGUGCAAUUUGACAAAUAGGGUGGUUUUUAGAAAAUUUAAGACAUUGAAAACUGAAUGGUGCUUCCAGUUCCCCCAGAUUGUAUAAAAUAUUUGAGAUCAUAAGGUUAUUGAAGUAUUUGAAUGUUAAUCUGAUUCAAAUCUUGCUUGACAUAUUUGCGGUGCAUACGCAGCUUAAGGUCAGAUAGCUGUAUGAUCAUGCGGAUGAUUUUUUGUGUGUCUGACAUGAACGAAAUAGUAUAACGAGCCUGUUUAUUUUCUGUUAACCAUCCUUCUUCUAUAUAAUUCCACCCACAUGGUUAUUAUAUUUUGCCAUGAUCAUGAUUCAUUAUGAUUUUGUUCCAUACUUUGAAGUAUAAGUAAAUACUUGUAUGGUUCACAUUCCAAAUUAUUUUGGAUUUCGUACUCAACAAAUUAAGUUUUCAGAUAAGUUGAAAUCAUAAUGGUUAAUAGAAAUCAUUUUCAACCUUUUCCUUUUCUGAAAUAGUUUACAAUUGAAAUGCCACCAUAAGGGAGUCUUACAAAAUGCUUAUAGUGUUUCUAUGUGGUAUUUUUUCACAUGGACAGUUCUUCACUUUCUUCUCCUUGGUGGCAUCUUAAGUGAUCCCGUCAUUGUAGGAUGAUCUUAAAACUAGAGAAGGGUUAGUCACAUGCUAUUCUACUUUUGCGCAUCAUGCAAAGGAUUAGGAGUAUUAUUUUCUUGGAUGGAGAGCUUUUUUUAUUGACUGGAUAAGUUCACUCCCUAUUUUGUGCAAACAACAACGGUAUCCGCUUCUUUAAAUGAAAAUUUCCCCCUCUCUGUUAUUGCCAUGAAAUAAUGUUUCAGAAAUGGAGGCACUUGGACCAAACUUUACAAUUUAUUUGAACAUCCGGGAAUUGAUGCACAUGGAAAAGAUACAACCAUCUUUUUCCAGCUAGGGAAAAGUUAAAAAGCAUUUAAAUGUGCAUAUUUUUUGGUGUUACCAAAUUGUUGUACCUGAAAUUUAAGGAGUUCUAGCCUUCAUUAACUAUUUUCCUUUAUGUACUGUGUACUGGUUUUCAUAAGAGUUCAUCCUUACAAAACAAAGUAACUAUAUAUAAGAGGCAUUAGUCGACAAUGGAACUUAAUAUGCUGUUUCUUUUCUUAUAGGUUUGUGGAACUUGUCGCCAUUGUUGUGAGGUUUGAGAUGGACAAAUUUUUGGUGUCCGUUGACCAUACAUAACUCUAAUAUUAUCUUUUCUGGAGGAGAAAAAAUCAGCACAGUAGUAAAGAUUAACAUUGAUUCUUCUUAAACAAGGGAGUAGAAUGUUUAAUUUUUUCUUUUGCAGAUUUUUGGUGCUGAAGAACCUUGCUACCGUUUUUCUUCAACAAGGUCCUACUUUUUAUGAGAAUGCUCUACAGUGCUAUCUUCAAGCUGUGGAGAUUGAUAACAAAGAUUCAGUUGUCUGGAACCAGCUAGGAACACUAUCCUGCUCAAUGGGACUUCUAAGUAUUUCGCGUUGGGCAUUUGAACAAGGACUAUUUUGCAGUCCCAACAAUUGUAAGCAUUUUGUGAGUUUUCUUGGGUAACUUCUGGGAAAUUCUGUAGUUCUCAGUAUCAUUUGCAUUCCAUGACUUAAGCAAUUUAAUAGCCAUGUAAUCAAUCCCUCAACUGUUGCUAUAAAUCAAUUCAUUUGCUUUUCUUUGACAACAUAAAUGCAGGGAAUUGCAUGGAAAAACUUUUAGAAGUUCUCAUUGCUAUUGGGGAUGAGGUUGCCUGUCUUUCUGUGGCUGAAUUAAUACUGAGGCAUUGGCCAUCUCAUUCACGUGCUUUGCAUGUCAAAACUACAAUUGAAGGGUCUGAACCCAUUCCAUUUGCUCCAAGAGGGAUAGACAGACUGGAACCAAAACAUAUCCGGUUGAAAUUUCCUGAAAAGAGAAAGGCAGAAAAUGAUGACCUGAUAGAUGGUGCCCCAUCAAAAAAGCUAAAGCAGACUAUAGAAGUUCAGCUUUCAGAACCUUCAUGGACUGCUCUUGCUGGUGAGCUUCUGCAGCUGUUAAAUUCGUUUGUUUCAGCUAGUCCUGAUCAGGAAAGAGGGCAAUAUAAAUCUGGGGAUGUUAGCUUAAGCAUACGGUUGCCUCACACUUCUGGAAGUGGCAUGGAGACCCUGGAAAGCAAAGGAUCUAUGUUGACCACAUCCAGUGAAGAUAUGCCGUUUGCUAAUUGCAAUUUUGAGAAAAAUUCUCACACUAAGGAAAAGGAAGCAAAUGUGUCUGAGGAACAACCUCAAGAAAGGCGAAGUAGUCGCAUUGAGAGGCUUAGGAGUCGUAAACCAGGGAAAGAGGAUUCAGAUUUUGGCACCACAAGGGAUCUAGCUAAAGUCAUAGUGCAAUUUCUAAGACCUUUUAUUGCAGGUGGAGGAGGUAGCGAUGACUAUACGACUGAUGCUAGUACAUCAUCUGAUUGUGCUGAAAUUGUGACCCGUUCACAGGAUUCAGAGAGUACAGAUGUGAUCAGAUUUGUGGAGAAAACUUCAGAAAAUUAUGGUGCUUACCACGUGAGUCACUUAAUUUUAGAAGAGAUUGCUAGUAGAUGCAUUUUUUUUCAGGAUUCUAAUGCUAAAUUUUUGGACUUGGAGAAGUUGACUAGGCAAUGGGGGAAGGAAAGAACUCCAGAAUGCAGUCUUUUUCUCGCAGAGCUAUAUUAUGACUUUGGGCUACGGUCUCCAGACUCAUCAACAUCUGAAUACAUGUCAGAGGCAUCAUAUCAUAUUUGUAAAGUUAUUGAAUGUGUAGCACUGGAGUGUCCCCUUCAAAGUCUUGCUGUGGCUUCACAUGAUAAUCUCUCUUCAAGGAAGAGCUUGUCGGACCCUUGUAAAAUUGCAGUUGACAACAGUCAUCCGUUGAGCAAUGACUUUCCUUUCUGGGUACGUUUUUUCUGGUUAAGUGGACGCCUUUCGAUGGUGGAUGGCAACAAAGCAAAAGCUCAAGCAGAGUUUUCUACUUCUCUGUCGCUGUUGGUCAAUAAGGAGAACAAGAAUGAGUCUACUAGUUCUAUUUGCUUGCCCCACUGCAAGGUCAUUCACAAGCUUACUGUUGAUAGGAUUCUCAGUGAAAUUAAUCUAUUAGAGGUUGACUUCUUGAUGAAGAAGACUGUACACGAAAUGAUUGGGAAAAAUAUGUAUUCAGAGUGUGUAGAUAUGCUUGUUCCCCUUUUAUUCUCUGCUAAAGAUGUCCAUCUUGAUGUGGGGAAUGUUUCCGGGCUAGAUGAAGGAUUUACCAAUGUUGAGCUAUCUGCAAUAGAUGCUUUGAUCAAGGCAUGUGAACAAGCUAUGUCAAUGGAUAUUGAGGUUUAUUUGAAGUGUCACAGAAGGAAACUACAAAUACUGAUAUCUGCCGCUGGUCUAGGAGACUAUCCUCCUUCAAUUAAAAGUCAUGGCUUGAAUGUCUUCUCUUCCUCUGAAACAGAAGCAAAGGACAGCGCAUGCAUCUACUGGAACCACGUUGUUGCUGAAGAAGUCAAGGCAAUUUCUGGAUGUACCUCACGGAUAAAGAGCAUGAUUCCAUGCGAUCAUUUGGUAGGUCAAUUCAAAAUUUCAAAGUUAAUGUUUCUAAGGCCACUGUUCAACUUUCAGAAGAUCUUAAAUUUGCUAGUUAUUCAGAUAUGGGUAAUUGUUAUAUAUGUUGUUUGUUCAUUGACGUAUCUGCUCAUGUCUAUUGAUGCACCUUUUCUGGGCAAGCUAAUAGAGGAAUUUGUCAAUAUCCCCCUGUGGUUUUAUAUUCUGUUGGUGGUACAUAUGGCUAGUAAAGCUCAUGGAACUUAUCCUACGCUCUUCUAUGCUUUGCAUAAAUCACUUUCUUGUUGAUGAGGUCAAUCUUAUGUACUAAGAGAUUAGAAAUCACUUUUAUGUGUCAUGAACUCAUGAGGUUGGCGGUCCAGUACUUCUGUGUAUCUACUGGUUUUCAAUGAAGCAUCAGGGUUCAGUUACUUUUUUCUAGAUAUGUAAUUGGAUGAACAUUUACGAAAACCUGCUACGUUAAGCAUCAGGGUUCAGUUACUUUUUCUAGAUAUGUAAUUGUGUGAACAUUUAUGAAAAUCUGCAACCUUGCAAGUUCUAAGUUAGACCAAACGCUGCUGUGCUAGGUUUGAUAAAGCCUCUGACAUUGUGUUUGAUGUUUGUUCGUUCUAAAUGAUAAAUCUAUUUGCCUCGUCACAAGCUUGGCAAUGCAAAGAAAAGUAGACUUGUUUUCUUUAUUAGUGCUUUGACCUCCAAGAAUGCCAUAAUGCUAGGCUGUCAGUAGCUUUGUUACAGCAUUUACACUUUUCUGUAAUGGCAAAUUAUUUUGCUCUGAACCAUGCUUUGGUCCAAUUAUGAUGCUUAAUAUAUCUUGUCAGACUUUUCUUCUCGCAUAAUGUAGUUUUGAGUCUUUUACUUGUUGGAGAAAAUAGAAGGUUUGUGCAGUUUUUAUUUAUUUUUGGACAAGUUGGAUAUAAUCGAUGCCAUUACAUCGCUAUAUUCAUUUACAGUGAGUGAUAAUUUGGGUUUCUUGCAGAAUGGUGUUAUAGGUCCAAUGAAAGUUAUCAAGGAUAUCCAGUCUAUCUUGCUAGUACUUAUGUGCAAUGUUGCAAAUAAGUACCUUUGUAAGAAAUCAUCUGGACUUGGGAUUUCAGACGAAAAUUUGCAGGGACAGAUAUGCUACUUUGUAGAUGCAGCUAUUGCAUUCUGUAAACUCCAGCACCUUAGCCCUACUGUUCCUAUCAAAACUCAGGUGUGGCAUAAAUCCUGUUUUUUGAAAAUGUUAACUCUUACUUCUCAUGGCCCCAUAUAUUGCUUUAAGUUUUUUGAUGUCAUAUUAUGAAUUUAUUUCAUGUUAAUAUAGAGAAUUGGCAUAUAUUUUGUUAUCAGACAGAGUUGAUUGUUGCUGUGCAUGACAUGCUUGCUGAGUUUGAACUCUGCUGUGCCCAUGGAAAUGAUGACGAGGAGGGGGGGACAUUUUUGAAGUUUGCCAUAAAGCACCUGUUAGCCUUGGAUAUGAAGCUUAAAUCUAAUUGUCAAAACCAAAGCAAGGCUGAGAAUCAAGUCCAAAGUUCUGGUCAGAUAUCCCCUGUUUUUCAGAUUGAUGGUUCUGUUAAUGAAGCAAAGAUUAUUGAACAGGCUACAGAUGUGGAUCAUACAGAUGAAAUCAGUACACCAGAGAAGGAUGCUACUGAAGGGAACUAUUCAGAAAGCUUUUGCACUCAGGAACGUCUAAAGAAAGAGGAGACAGGAGUAGAAUGUGAUAGAAACGUGGGUGCUAGGCCAAAUAGCGUGUUCCUUGAGAGACAAAAAGAAAAAGAAGACACUCAAUCUAUAGAAAGUGGAAAAGAAAUGACAGAGGAUGAAAGAGAAGAAUUAGAACUGGGAAUUGAUAAUGCUUUGGAUCAGUGCUUUUACUGUUUGUAUGGUUUGAAUCUUAGAUCUGACUCAUCUUAUGAAGAUGAUUUAGCCAUACACAAAAACACUAGCCGGGGAGACUAUCAGACAAAGGAACAGUGUGCUGAUGUUUUCCAAUACAUACUGCCUUAUGCCAAAGCUUCAUCAGUAAGUAAAUAAUGACCAGUCUUUUUCCUCCCUUGCAUUUCUUUUGAACUUGUGAUCAUUGUGUUAUUCAUUCAAAACUAUGUUGCUAAUUAGUUUUCUGUGUCUGUUAGCGAACCGGUCUUAUUAAAAUUCGGAGAGUACUAAGAGCUAUACGGAAGCACUUUCCGCAGCCUCCUGAUCAUGUUUUGGUGGGAAAUGCAAUAGAUAAAAUCUUAGAUGAUCCUGACUUAUGUGAAGAUAAACUGUCAGAAGAAGCUGGAUGUGAUGGCUUUCUGGAUUCAGUUAUCAAGACAGUAUUUUCUGAUCCUGGAAGCCUCAAACAACAGCAAGCAUCGUUGGUUGUUAGGUAUUGUCUCUUUACCAAUAUUUUUUAUUAUUUUAGUUUAUGGACUUGAGGAUCUUCUAUAUAACCAGUUCCAACUUGUUUGGUAUGGGCUUGUCAUUGAUUGGCAAGAAGGGACCUGGUACUUAUGAUUACUUCAGAUUUUUGGUAUAGACUGAAUAAUAUGUUCAUUAAAUGCAGCUCUGGACCUUACCAUGAUGUGUACAGCAACUUGUAUUACUUUCUAGCUUUGUCUGAAGAAAUGAGUGCAACAGAUAAAUGGGCAGGUUUUGUAUUAACCAAGGAAGGGGAAGAGUUUGUUGAGCAAAAUGCAAAACUCUUUAAGUAUGAUUUACUGUACAAUCCCCUACGCUUUGAGAGUUGGCAGCGGCUAGCAAAUAUAUAUGAUGAGGUGACUUUCCUUUGUUGUGUAAUCUUUUGGGUUGGCUUAUGCAUUGAGAAAAUAAAAAAGAACAUUAGUUCCACAUUAAACAUUCAUUUAUUGCUUUCAAAAUACUACUUGUGUGUGCAGGAGGUGGACUUACUAUUAAAUGAUGGAAGUAAGCAAAUAAAUGUUUUAGGAUGGAGGAAGAAUCCUACUUUACCUCAGAGGGUUGAAAAAAGUAGGAGGAGGAGCAGGCGAUGCUUAUUGAUGACUUUGGCUCUUGCAAAAACAGCAAUUCAACAGGUUAUGCUCCAGUUUGAUGAUGCUUGUUCAAUUUGGUGCCUUUUUUCUUGCUGCGUAUACUAGUAUAGGGAACUAGAGUGUUGAUGGCAAACAACUAUUUUCUGUUGGAGAUGUCUUCAUGAUAUGGUUUAAAGGUUUGACCUCUUUUUAUUUAUUUAUUUAUUUACGCAAGUUAUGAUCCAAAAUCAAUGAUCUCAUGGAGCUGACUAGGAAAGAUGAGAAUAUAGGUUGCAUCUUCACAGGCUUUGAACUGCUUGAUCUCCUGUGGUUGUUGAAUCUUGCUUGUGAAAUUUGUUACUAUUACAAAUCAGAAAUAGUGAAUGAGUUGGUAUUACACAUAUGUGCCUCUGCUGCUUGAUUGAAUCUUUUAGUUGUCAACUAUAUUACAUGGCUGAAGCCACUUUUAUUGCUUAUGUUGGGUUCCAGGGUGAGAUACAUGAAUUGUUAGCACUAGUGUACUACGAUGGUGUUCAGAAUGUUGUACCAUUUUAUGACCAGAGAUCUAUGAUACCCUCGAAGGAUGCAGUUUGGAUGAUGUUCUGUCAGAACUCAAUGAGACAUUUCAAGAAGGCCUUUGAGCAUAAGUAAAUAUUUUUCACUCAGGUUUUUACAGUGCUUCUGGACUUACAGCAUUAUCUGGUCUUACAUAUUAAAAUCUAUUUCUACAGGGAAGAUUGGUCUCAUGCAUUUUAUCUGGGAAAAAUAUGUGAGAAGCUUGGCUGUUCACACGACACGUCUUUGUCAUAUUAUGCUAAGGCUAUUGCCUUGAAUCCAUCAGCUGUGGAUCCAUUCUACAGGAUGCAUGCUUCACGCCUGAAGCUACUCUGCACAUGUGGGAAACAAGAUCAAGAAGCUAUGAAGGUUUUUCCUAGCUGGUUUUUCCUAGCUGUUAUCUUUGAAUUUUCUCCAAUUCUUUUCUCCACACCACAAAAAACCAUAUUCUACUCGACGGAAAGGACAAAAAUGUGCAAUAUAGAAGGAGCUGAGUACAAACUAAGCCUAGUGCAUUAAAGCCCCACGCGUCGACAUAAGCUAAUAGGAAGACUGGCAGAUAAAAUUCAUACAUACAGGCCUUUUAAAAUCGGCUUCUUCCUUACUUAUCAUGUUAUUUGAUUGAUCAACUAUUUUAUUUGUUUCUUAGUAUCAUCCCUGUGGAGUGAUACACACAAACACAUGUAUAUUUGUAUGUAUGAUGCUGAAUAGCUCUGCGUUUUCUUUAGGUUGUUGCAGCAUAUUCUUUUAUGGAGUCAACAAAGCAAACCAUAAUGAGUACUCUUGACAUAGUUGGUGGUGAAAUUUUGGAACCAUCAAUGCAUAGCGAGAAAAGAAACUUAGAUGACAACUGUGCCGGUAAUAUGGUGGAAGUUGCCAAGUUGGAAGAGGUGUGGCAUAUGCUUUACAAUGAUUGCCUUUCUGCACUUGAAAUCUGUGUUGAAGGAGAACUCAAGCAUUUUCACAAGGCCAGAUAUAUGCUCGCUCAAGGGCUGUAUAGAAGGGGGGGCAGUGGGGAUCUGGAUAAGGCAAGGGAGGAGAUUUCCUUCUGCUUUAAGUCAUCUCGUUCUUCAUUUACGAUAAACAUGUGGGAGAUUGACAGUAUGGUAAAGAAAGGAAGGUACAGCUUUCGUCUUUUUCUCAUUUCUCAAACUACUUCUCAAGGAUAUUUGAAAACAAUGUAAUUUACUUCUUUCUUUUCCUUAAUUUGGCAAGUCAAGAGAAUUUUGUUGUCACAUAAUUUUAAGCUAAUUGAAUUUUUAUAUACGCAAGAAAUUUUUACCAACAUAUAUAGGCCUAUUAGAAUAAGAAAGCAGGGACAUGUUUUUAGAUUUCUUCACUAAAUAUGACUAGCAUAAAAUUCUCUGAAAACUGAUUGGAUAUUAGCAUAAUGGAAUAGCUCAUUUUCCCUUGAAAUUUGAAGCCUUGUAUAUGAUUUUACAUACAAGUAUCUCAAUCUUGGCCAUGUGCUUCUUUGAUUUACAGGCGCAAAACACCAAGUGUUUCUGUAAAUAGGAAACCUCUGGAAGUUAACCUAGCAGAAAGUUCUAGAAAGUUUAUCACUUGCAUCAGGAAGUACAUAUUGUUCUAUCUGAAAUUAUUGGAGGAGACGGGAGAUGUCUCUACGUUGGAUCGGGCUCAUGUUUCUCUUCGCUCAGAUAAGAGGGUAUCACCAUUUGAAUGAGUUUGGAUUUUUGCCUAUUUUUUGUCAAUUUUUGAUGUGGUUAAGUGGUUUAUACAAGGUGUUCUUUUUGAGCUACAUCCUUGAUACUUCUUUUAGAUUUGAAGCAAAAUUUUUGUGUCAGAAACUCUGUGAAAUAGUAAAAUCUGUGCUAUGUGAAUAUUGGCAUAUUGUUUCAUUAUUCUUGUUUUAGUAAGUAAAUGAAAUUAGUAGUGGCUUUUGUUGUUCAUUUGAUGUCAGAUGCAUGAUCUGUCACACUACUGUUUAAAGCUGCCUAGAUGGCUUUGAAUUUUUUUUUUUAAAUUAUUUUUUUAUAGUAUAAGUGGGAGGUCUCAAAACCCAGGACCUCUCACUUACAUUCCCUCCCCCGUACCACCCAACCCAUCCCUCUCCGUUGGCUUUGAAAGUUGUUUACUCUGGGAAGAAAUUGUCAUGUCAAAGCAUUGAAAAGAAAAAUUUGUCUUGAAAAAGUUAUUCCCGAGUAUUUAGGAGGAAACCAUAAGGUCUAAGCAAAUAAGAAAGCUUCAAAACUGUUUUUAGGCAAAAUCAACAACAGAGAACAGGUCCAUACGCAUGGGACAAUCAAACAAAUAAGCACGAAUGAGAUGCGGCCACAUAUUCAUCAUGCUUGAGCAAUGUGAGGAGAAAAGGACAGUUAUGAAAUUAUGUUCUACCUUGCAAAGUAUGUUUGUUAGUUACACAAUCUAAACUUAAUAAGCCUUUUUACUUGUCUUUUUCUCUUAAUUUGAAAGAUUAAAAGGUCAAAGAAAGAUUGAGAAACAAUCUUCUUAGACAUGGAACUAGUGUUUAUAAUUUUGCAUGAUCUGGGUGAUAUUUGUUGUUACUAGUUUCAGAUCAGAUUUCUUUACAAUAAAUGAUAAUCUAAACUUAAUAAGCCUUUUUACUUGUCUUUUUCUCUUGAUUUGAAAGAUUAAAAGGUCAAAGAAAGAUUGAGAAACAAUCUUCUUAGACAUGGAACUAGUGUUUAUAAUUUUGCAUGAUCUGGGUGAUAUUUGUUGUUACUAGUUUCAGAUCAGAUUUCUUUACAAUAAAUGAUGAUCGUCAUUUGUCAUAGAAACACUUUGUGUUGGUGGGAUCAUAUUUAUCUUAUUUGAUUUUCAAUUCAGUUCUCUCCAUGCCUUGAGGAUAUUGUUCCGGUUGCCAUCGGGAGGUACAUCAAGACCUUAAUUUUGUCCAUCCAGCAAUCUCUCUCGUGCUCUGAUCCUACUCGUGGUGCUAUUGAACAUCUUCUGGAGAAAUUAUUUUCUCUGUUUUUAGACCAGGUCAACUUAUGGUCAGACAUAUGCAACUUGCCUGAGAUUAAGACCCCAGAAUUGACGGAGAGCUAUUUAUAUGGGUAACUUCUGUAUGAACUUUACUUUGUGUUGUGACUUUAAUAUAAUACUUUGCUUUAACAGUCUAGAUGCCUUGUUGAUUUCUGCUGGUUACUUUCAUAAAUCUAACUCAACUUCAUCCUUGUGACACCUAUCUUGACUGGUGAAAUCAAUGUACUUACACAGAUUUUGUGUUUGGCCUUUGGUGCAGAUAUCUGUAUCAAUACAUCCAAUGCUUAGAGAGAAGUGUCAAGGUAGAAGCACUUGAAGGAAUAAAUGAGAAAAUUAGGAAGCGUUUGAAGAACCCAAAGUUGUCUAAUAGCAACUGUGCUAAAGUUUAUAAGAUCGUUUCUGUUGCUUGGUGUCGGUCUCUUGUUAUUAGCAUGGCUUUAAUAACACCAUUGCACUCAAGAAUUCCAAGCGAGAUCCAUGUUCCAGGUUCAUUAGGUAGUGGACUAGAAAAUAUACAGUUGCUCUGUGUAGAUUUGCAAUCAGAUGAAUUGUGGAGUUCAUCGUCUGAUGACCUAGAGCAUCUGAAGUGUCUUGAAACCAAAUGGAAUCCUUCGUUGUCUAAGAUCAAGAAUGUGAUAGUUAAGAGGGUAUCAGAUGAAGACUUGGAGACUGCUGCUAUUUUGCUCAGAUCUUCCUAUAACUUUUACAAGGAUACCUCUUGUGCAUUGCUCCCAUCUGGCAUAAAUCUUUAUACGGUGCCAUCUCAGUUAGCAACGGAGACAUAUGUCCAGCCAGGUAUAGAUGGCGUGGACAUACUUGACAUGAACACUUCAAGGAAGCUUCUUUUGUGGGCCUACACACUUUUGCAUGGAUAUUGUCCAAACCUUUCAGUCGUCAUUAAGUACUGUGAAGAAAAUGUUAAGGUAUGCAAGUAGAUUAUAGUUUUUAUGUCAGCAUCAUAGAUUUGCCAGUCAAAUGGUGAUUAUCUCAGUGAAAAGAGUAUGCAGAAAAAGCUUGUUGGAUGUGGAUAGAAUGCAGGAGGGAAAAGGAGGAACUUUCAUGAGUCUCAUUCUUUCUAAAAUAGCAGAGAAGAUCUCUGGGCUAGCUGGUUUGUAAAAUGUGUUUGGUUGACUAGAAAGGUUCUUCUCUUUUUUCACUUACCGCAUUACCCAAUUUCCGCAAAUUCCUUCCUCUCCAAGAACCACCACCAACCAAACCCCACCUCUCCCAAAAAAAAAAAAAGAAGCCCUUUUUCAAGGUAAGUUAUCUUACCUUUUAAAAACACAUUGAUUUUUAAACCUCCCCCUUUCCUUCAGAAUGUGGUAGGCGUUGAACUCUGCAAACUGACCCUGCCUCUCCCCCAAAAGAAAAGAAAAAAUGUUUUCAACGUAAGUUAGCUUGCCUUUCAAAAACCCAUUGAUUUUUGAACCUCCCCCUUUCCUUCAGAAUGUUGUAGGCAUUGAAGAAUGUGUGUGGCAAUUUGGAGUUGAGUCCCAUUUUAUCUUUUAUUUUGUCACGCUAACUUUGGGGGUCCUGUAGGAUAUCCUGUCUGAGAAGUAAAACAUAAAAAUAAAACAGAUUUGAGAAGGGUGAAGGUGGGAAAAGGAAAAACAAUUGCUUUGUUGGUGGCACCAGACUGAUCCAGUAUCGAUUUGUAGUGUGAAAAGAAGCAUUUCAGGGUGUUCUUUACCGAAUUUUCAGCAAAAAGUUGGAUAGUAUCAUUACAAGCUUGUGGAGCUUAUAGUUGUUGCAUUCUGGUUGUGAUUGCAGGUGAAGAUGAAAAAGGGGACUGGAACUCCAUUGACGCCUUCAAAUACAAAUGUUCCCUCGGGCUCAGCAUCUAAUACAGGUAUCUAUAAGCUCAUUAAGGGAAACUCUUAUACAUGUGUACUGAAUGAUGCUAAUUGGACUCGUAUACUUACAACUGUCUUGUAGGGGGUGGCAAAGAUGGAACUGGUAAAAGCAAUGAAGUCGAUACUUCCUCUAUCUCUUCUGCUACUGCUGCUUCCUUGCCUGAAAUAGAUACAACAACUAAAAUGGCAUCUUCUCCAUUACCUGAAAAGCUGGAGCCGAGCAAUGUUGCAUCUGCUUCUUUGCAGGGAACGGAGGCAUGUAAUUUGGCAUCCGUAUCUCCGACUGAAACAAAGAUUAUCUGCAGUGUAUCAUCUACAUCUAUGCCUGAUAGUGGGAGCACAAAUUUGCCAAAUGUUGUAUCAUCCAAUGAGAAUCAAGGGUUUCUAUCAGCUACUUCUGAUCUUCUCGAUUGUAACGUUGUUCCCACAGAAAUGAGCCGUGUGGAUAUAGAAGGUGCCUCAGAUCUGACUUCUGAGCAAUGAUUGAUUUCUCACGGGGCGGACAAAUUUUGGCCAAUUUUACGUCUGAUAACAUGAAAAUGAUUCAUUUUGGUGUAUAUAAUUUGUCUGUAGGGAAGAAAUGGGAACUGGUAAAAGGCAACAGCUUGUGAAUAUUGAUAGUAGUGUCUCUAGUGAGUUUCUUAUGUGCCCUUGUACAGCUGCAAUAAAAAGUUUCAUUGGGGUACUUCCCGGUUGAUGGUCGCAUGUUAUACAGACGCUGAUUUAAUUGUGCAUUUUCCUGCUUCUAUCUAGCAGAUGUUUAUAUUGAUAAUAAACAUUUACAUGCCCAUUGCAAACCCGAUUGCUGGAAAUUUGCUAGUAAUUUUGGAUCUGAAGUUUUCCAGGUGAAGGUGCCCACGUACAUUGGAAGGCUAAACUCAUUUGCAUGGUGCUGAUUUGAGCCAAUAAGCGGCUUUGAAGCAACAAGUAAAACACAGAAGUUGGGUAAGACAACUUGUUUUCUUUCAUGGUGAGGUUUCCUUAGGCAAACAACUACCCAACUUUGCCCAAAAGUACCACUAAAGUAGUAAAAUAGAUUGCACAAUUUUUGUAAAAUAUCCUCUGGCAUUAACAUUUCUUUUCACUCUCUGACCAAAAUUUCAUUACGAUGAUACUUUAUUAUGCAAAAUGGUACUAUAAAUCAUUAAAAUUCUAUGUAGAAGAAUUAACCGAUAGCAUGAGUUUGCUUUUCUUAUGUGGGUGUAAAUUAAUCCUUGAAUAUACAGAAAGGAAAUCUCUGUCAUUAAAAUUCUAUGUACAAAAAUUAAUCGAGAGUGCUUCUUACGUGAGUGUAAAUUAAUCCUUGAAUAUAUAGAAAGGAAAUCUAUUACUUAGAAAUGUUGUAAUUUACCGUCACCUUUAUAAGUAGAUUCAUGUAAAAAAUUAUCUAACAAAACUAAAUAUAUAAAGCUACAAAGUUAUCUCAGCUGUGAAACGGGCCAUCGGUAAUUGGACUCCAACCUCCGAAUCAGGCCAACGUCCGCCAAAACAGCCCCGAUAGACGUCUACCUAAAACAGGAACUUGCAGAGUUGAAGCUGUAAUUUUCUCGCUUUUUCAGUAAUCUGCAAAAAAUGGGAAGCAGAGCUUUCAUGGUUUUGCUAAGUCACAGAGGAGCAUACAUUAAUCCUUCUGCUAAUGCUGCCCAACUUUUCUUGACUUUCGGGCAAAGCCCAUUUUCUCCUGUGAAGAAGAAAUGUCUUGUAGAACGCAGGAAUCAUAGGACAAGCCACAACUUCUCCACCGCAGCAAACUCUAGCCUUGAGCCCCCUAAUCUUCCUCGUUUGGCUGAAACUGCUCGAAUUUCCCUCACCCCAGAUGAAGUAUUACUACUAUAUAUUGCCCUUUUCUUCCUUGUCUUCAUAUCCAUGUGUACUCGUAUAAUUGAUGACUUCGAAGUCCGUGUUUUUUCUUUAAGCAGAGUUGCAAAGGUAUAUUUUUGGAUUGUAAUCUUUAUUUUUCCCCUUCCCUUGUUGGGUGUUUACAGGUGGAAGAAUUUGCUCCUAAAAUGAAACAAGUGGUUGAUUGGUAAUGUAUCUUCUUUCUUUCUUUCUUUGGCUGUCUCCCUUUCUUAUAACUAAUAACAUAUGCAUGUAUGAUUGAAAUGUGGGAGUUUGCUGAAGAGCCUUAUAUUUAUCAUUUGUUUGCGGAACUUAAAAAUUGAAGUUUUAUGAAUACUGAUCAUAGUUUUAGGCUUCUACACUUGAAUGUCAGCCUGACUGGUGUAGUUUUGAUUUUCCCUGUGAACUUUUGUGUAUUGGUUUGCUCUAAAAUCUGAUAUGAAAUGACAUAAAAAAAAAUUGAUAUAAGUGUUUGUAAUUUACAAAAUCAGAGAUGUGGGUUUUGUUCCAAAUACAAUGCUCUUUUAUAGUAUGGUCUUGGACUGGAGUAUUUUAUCUAUGCUUCUUCAUCAUAAUUUGAGUGAAUCAAAUUAGUUUACAGACUGAUUUGCUGAAACUCGUGUAGUUCUUAGUAGCAUUCAAAUGCAGUCUAGAAGCAAGUUUUGGAUCCAGAAAGGAUCAUUCGACUGAUCUCCCUGAAUUUUUUUCACCGACAUGAAGUUGUUUUUAUAAAUCUGAUGUCAUAAAAGGGUAGUUUCAGGGUAUGAGCUAUGUUGAUGAUUGUCUCUGUGGGAUUGGUAUAGUUUUUCCUUUGUAACUAGACAGGCCAUUGCUUUGUUCUAAUUUUUAAAGGCUUUCUUGUAAUUGGAUGAUUCUUUAUGAAACAGGUUUGGGCAACUCCAAGCUAUUGAUCUUGAAAGUAUUGAGCCAGCAAUGCGAGCAGGUACUUGACAGUUUUGAAUGAAAAUCUUUAUUUGGUAGCUAGUCUAUAGUUGAAACGCUUGAUAAGGCUUACCUUUUGGUCCAAUUUUGGAACUCUAAAAAAGAGGUCAGGCUUUCUGUAACAUUAAAGAAUGAAAGUAUUUUUUUAAUCUGCUCCUUCCUUUUUAUUUCUUUCAGGCAUUAUUGUGUCUACCUCUUGUUCUACUUGAUUUAUUUAAAAUUAUUCUCAGCAUGUUCAAUUGCUUAUCAUUGAAAAUAUCUAGCAUUAGCUGAUUUGAACCCAAAAGGUGGGAGAUUUGUCAACUUAAAGUGCAGGAGACAUCGUGCUGAUAACAUGCAAUUGGAAUUUAAAUUGGCAUGUUUUCAUAUUUUUUUCAAUGUUGCUCCACCCCAGCAACCAGAAUAUUGAUAUUGCUACUGAUGAUCCUUUCUUGCUUUGACAAUCUGUCAUAUAAGUGAAUAAGAAUAUAAGCACGAACAAGACAUGCCUUCUUGGUUUCAUCUACUGCUAUUGUCCUUUGACUGCAGAUUUUAUACUUUAGUUACAGAUUCAUUUGUUGGAAAUAUGUUGAACUGCAGAUACUGAAGAUGACAAUUCACGUGAUGAUUUACCUCAAAUUUUUGAGAAUCGGUUGGUAUCAGGAAUAUCUGUGAUCUACUACUGUUCAAAGUAGCAUUGCAUCUCUGUCUGCAAUUAUAAGAAUCAUCACUUAAUCUUAGAUGAACACACGUUCUCAACAGGGAAGCAAUAAUAAAAGCUAUGCCAAGCUAUGAGGAACCUUAUAUCAAAGUUCCAAAGGUCUUGAACAAGGAGUAGAACUCUACUGGUGUGUUUUCCUCCUCUCUUAAGUGUUACUUGAAUAUACUAAGGUUGCUUAUGAAGAACUUCUUACCUCAUCUAUGUUUAGCCUCUUUGCAUUCGCACUUUGUAUUUUCUGUUUUUAUGUUUCUAUGGUCUUGUUUUUGGUUGCUCCAUGUCAAACUUCAAAAUUUACCUCUCUUGACUCUUUUGUUUUUAGGUUAAACGGGAAUUAUGAAUGGGGUGUGAUCCCAGUCAAUUUACAUACAUAAGCUUGCAUUACUGAUUUUCAAACUUACAAGUAGCAUGAGUUACAUUCCUAGUUCUUUUUUCUUGUGUUUUUAUGAUCAUUAGCCCAUGGCAUCUUGAAUUCUUUUCUAUGGUUGACUUAUACUGGAAAUACCAGUUUGAUGUACUUGCGCCAGUUGAUUAUGUAUCUGUGUAAUCAUUUGCAUUCAGUAUAUUGACAGUUUAAGUAGUUUGGUGCAUCUUUCUAGUCUCUAGGUACCUUUAUAUCACAUACUCUUAUCCCAUCUUACUGGACAGGGUUGUGGAAUGCACCAAUUAACAAAUUAUGGGUUUGUGUUGGACAGAAUACAUGAUGAAGCUGGACUGAGCUUCUAGUUUCUGACAAGAUAGUGAAACCUGUUCGGCCUCCCCAAGUACGCAAAUCUAAAUUUUAAGGAGCUGUAAAAUCCAUUUUCUGAUUCAUAGUUCUCCCAAUAAAAUAGGGGAUUGUGCUUUGUUACAGUUUUUGUAUGUUCAGAAUAUUAUAGUACGUUUGAGUUGAAAUUAUAUUUGACUGUAAAAACAUGAGAAAAUUAUUAUGAUUGACAUGCUGCUUGAAAAGAAAUGCAACAAGGACUGAAGGAAUACAACUACAACCUAAAUUUGUGGACAAAAUUUGGACAACAAUGACAAUUUAAACUGACAACUUGCAUUCAGAUGAAGGUUUCGAGAUAAACAGUAUAAGCACAACAAAACAAACAAAAAAAAAAAAAAUCAUCAAAGCUCGGGUUUGGUUAAUUUGGAGCAACAGAUUGCCCUUUUCCUGAAAUUCUGGUCAUAAUUUCCUGUUACAAAAUAAUGCUAUACAUUCUUGCUUGACAGUUCAUCUACCUCCCUGAUAUUUGAUGUAUUGGAGUCUUAUCUUCUUCAAAGUUUCAAGAACACUUUUCAUGCAAGUCUUUCCUUGGGAGAUUCAGACACACAACGCAAGUCCAGUUCCAUGAUUGAUGAUAUGGACCUUUCGACUUUUCUGGUAUAGUUGUUCAUUUGGUUUCAACAAGUUAGCAUCUAUAACUUGAAGAAUCUCACUAGGCAUCAAACCUUUAACCCAACCCUUCAGGUUCAAAUACUCACCAAAUAUUUCACAGCAGGGCUAGUAGUAGUAGUGUUGGUUAUUCCUUCAACAUAUCACAGAGACAGGUCCGAGAGUCACUUCUUUCACUGUUGAGUGUUCUCCACCCUCAUUUGGUACAAACUUGACAACAAUGCAAACCUUCUUCUCUCCUCAAAACAUAUUCAGUACAGUGGCUGGUUGUACUCUACUUUUUGGUGCAGCAACCCAGUUAAGUGAAAGGACGAUUGCUCAAUUCUAUUCUUCUGUGCAUCUUGCUUUUAGAGAUUUUUUUUUUUUAUUUUUUGAACAUUAAAUCUAACCAUUAGCUAUCCAUCUUGUUUUCAGGAGAACUUUUUCUUUGAAUUCAAAAUCAAAUAUUUAGCAACAAGGCUAGUUAUUAUGUAUACUUUAUUAUUUCCCUCCAAUUUCAUCAAUAUCUAUACAAUAUUUAUGCUAUAUAUAAAUGGAGAGCAGUAGUGGUUGGUAUAAAUAUUUUCUGUCGUUUUUCAAACUUUCAAUUUUGCCCCUACAUUUUUUUUUACCCUAAUCACCUGAUCACAUUUCUUGACACAACCGCUCAUAACUACUCCAAGUAUUGCAACUACCAAAUAAUCUAUUUUUUAAUUGAAGAAAAAAUUACCUAUAAAUUGAAGGUUGUUAAUGAAAAAUUCGUAUAAAAUUUAUUAGUGUAAAAAUAAAAUUCACAAAGUCUAAAUUGCACACACAUUGGGCGUGCCUUUAACAUGACUAUAAAUUGAUCAAUUUUAAUAUUUCACAAUAGCCAGUUUUACAGCAAGUUGACGAAUGCAACGCCAAACAAUAGAAUAAACAAACCUUCAGACUUGGUUCUUUGGAGGUAACUUCAUCCAAACUUUGAGGAUGCUAAUUGGCUCGAGUACAACCUCGACUCCAUUUCCAUGGGCUUCACCCUUGUGCUAUGCACUAACAACCCCUACCUGUUUCUGUUGUACUGACACCUGCGAUUACUGCCAUGAUCAUACUCCAAUCAAGCUACAUCUCUGCACUUCCUGUGUUCUUAAUCUGAUCCAUAGAUUUGCAGCAUGGUACCAACGCUGUUCAAGGAAGUUGUACAGUAUCUUCAAGUGAGCAUGGAAUGAGGCAUGAUCUUACAAGUUACGGUAGGCAAAUAUGUUCGCAGGAUUCCUCACCAACAACAAACUGCUCUCAGUGACUAAAUCUCGUCCACCUCAAAGAGUACAGUAGAAAGGCUAUACAUGUAGCCGUCAGAUCUUAGAUGAUCCAUGAACUGAUCAAGCAGAUUGUAGAUUGCCCUUGAAUCUGCAUGCCUUGAAUCUGCAUGCCUUUCGUCACUCACCAUGAAUUCAUGUAUAUUGCCGCAGAUUUCAAUGGAACUAACUGCAUCAUGCUUUUUGAUACCAUUAUCAUUCAUCAAUUUUCUUAUAUUCUUCAUGUCUCCCCAUCUUUUAGCUUCAGAAUAAAUGUUUGACAUGAGCACAUAGAGCCCACAAUGACUAGCAUAUGGUUCCUGCUCCAGCAGCUGCUUUAGGACCUGCUCUGCAAUUGUGAUAUUAUGAUAAAUCCUACAAGCAUUCAAUAAAGAACUCCAAAUAACAGUGUGUGGCUUCAUUGGCAUUCUUCCUAUCAGCUUUACUGCUUCAUCCAAAAAGCCUCCACGCCCAAGAAUAUCAACCAUGCAAGCAUAAUGCUCAAUUUCACGUGGUACUCCAUACACAGAACUCAUUUUGUCAAAGUAAUACCACCCAAUGUCUGUUAGACCACUGUGACAACAAGCAGAUAAUAAGCCAAUGAAGGUGACCUUGUCAGGCCACUUUCCACCAGCUUGCAUCUCUUCAAAUAGCUGAAUGGCUUCAUGUCCAAACCCAUGAAAUGCCAGGGCUCCAAUCAUGACAUUCCAGGAGACAAUAUUCUUCUCUGGCAUCUCAUUAAAAAGAUCAAAUGCAUUUUCAAGAGAACCACAUUUUGAGAACGUAUCUAUAAGUGCAUUAUUCAAAGUAACACUAGAGUUUAUGUUGUUACAGCGGAUAUAAUCCUGAACUUUAUUCCCCAUCACCAAAUCACCAAGUUGGCAACAAGCUGAGAGAACGCUAACCAAAGUAAUCUCAUCAGGCUCCACUUUAGAGUUGCACAUUUCAAAGAAGAGAUCCAAUGCAUCCUGCAAGCAACCUUCAUGGAUACAACUUGACAUCAUUGAAUUCCAAGAAACAACAUUUUUCACGGGCAUUUGGCUAAAAAUAUCCUUGGCUCUUUCAAGGCAACCAUGUUUGGCAUAAGCAGUAAGGAGAGAGGUCCAAGAAACGACAUUUCUAUGGACCAUACGAUCAAAAAGUGUUUGUGCUGCGUGAAGGUCUCCACACUUAGCAUACAUAUCAAGAAAUGCAUUUUGUAAAACAAUAUCAACACCGAUCCCAUUUAUGACAACAUUGUGGUGAACGAACUUCCCCAACUCCAAGUUGCAAUCAUGAGAACAAACAGAAAGCAAAUACAUAAGAGUAAAAACAUCGGGUUGGAUACCUCUACCCCUCAUUUCAAGAAACAGUAAGAACGGUUGUUCGCCACAACCCACUCUCGCAUACCCACCAAUCAUCGAAUUCCAGGAAACCAAAGUCUUUUCCAUGAUUUCAUCAAACACCUUCCUGGCGGAGGCGAUAGUCCCACAGCGAACAUAUACAUUUAUAAGACCAUUUUCAACACAAACAUGAGAUUCAUAUCCUAAUUUAACAGCCAUCAGAUGAACUAAAACACCAUCUCUAUAACUCUCUUUAAUACCACAAGCCUUCAGAACAAAAGGAAACGUAAAUUCAUUUGGAAAAAUAGCCGAAACAAUCAUUUGCUUAUACAGUAUCACAGCCUUUUCUGGAUCUUCACUAUUUGCAUAACCCCGGAUUAAACUGUUAUACACGUAACGGUUUCGCUGAGGAAUUUCAUCAAACAGUAUCUGCGCAUAUUGAAUAUCACCCCAUGGUGAGAGUGCAUAGGACGCUAUGAGUUUGUUUACAGUUAAGUCACGAUGGGCUAGGCCAUGGACGAUGAUUCGGGCGUGCAGACUCUUGAUUCCUUUCACGGAUAAGCAUUUUUUGAUGAGGGAAUGGAGGGCUUGGAGCCGAGGAGAUUGAACAUUGUGAGCGAACGACGACGAAGUAGUAAGCUUACAAUUAAGGCGGGCAGCGACGGUCAAGUACCCAAGAGAUUUGAACAUAUCAGUCCCACGUCGGACUUCAAUUCUGCUUGGCUCCGAAACUUCUCCAAAGUAAUAUUCACUCCACACUCCACCCUCUGCAUCCUUGUAAUCUAAACCUUGAGAUCUCCUCCCUUUAUCUUGUAACCAUUCGAGCAGGUUUCAACCAUCAGGACUCACUGUCAAUUUCCCCGGCAUAAAAUCAGAAGCCCAAAGCCACAAUCAUGUGUCCAUUACCUCCGCCUACCCUGAAGCUCAUCCAGAGUACUCCAAAAGUUACCACCUCAUUUGCCAAGAGCACAAAUGAAUCAACCUAAUUGAAUUUUGACUCAACGAGUCGAAUUUCAAUUUAAUUUUUUAAAAUUUAAACCCGAACUCAAAAUGUAAAGUUGAAGUUCAAACUCAGGCUCUCAAGCAUAAAAAAAAAACUAUAUAAUUAUUUUUAUUUUUAAGAAAAAUAAAUAAAAUAAUAAUUUUAUUAACAAAUAAUAAAGUAUUAAAAAACAUUAUAUAUAUAAUCGCACCAACUCGCGAGCUAACGAGAUAAAUGUCUUUAAACUCGAGUUCGCCUUGAUUAACUCGAACCACUCACAAGCCGAUUCGUUUGCAACCCUAGAAGAGACUUGCUGGAACAAAAGCUAUCAGACAAUUAAGAAUCAGUUGUGAACCAGACCACAAAAAUCAAACGCUCAAGCACACCAUUGUCCAAGAAUAUCUGAUGCCACCACUUUGUUUCAACCCCAGCUGUGCGAGGGAGGAGUUAAAUCUGUUCAAACGGUACUCAAAUGGCAGGCUUGAAAUGACUCGAUAAGCAGGAGCAAUGCCAUUACAUAUAAGCACACCGCAUUGCUGACAUUCGACCAAAAAAAAAACAGCAAAUAGGGUGCGAAGAUCAAUAAUAACCACCGCAAUACAACUCUAUAUGAAUAGAUGGCACGGCAACAAAACCAUGUAUGAAUCGAUGGCCUGGAAGACAAUAAUACAAUACAUCCAUACUAAUAAAUCAUUAGCAUUAUUAAGUAGAAUGAGCGACUGUCUCUUGCUGGAAUUGAAAAGAACUAACUAGUAGAAGAAAUCUAUUCCUUGCGCAUAUCCGUUAACAUUUACAUUGCAAAAGCUACAGCUGCACAUCAAAAAUGGUCAGCUACACACAUGAUGCCAAUCUCUUUUAUCUCUCUCUUUCUAUCUACGUCAUUUUCUAAUUUCCUUUCAUUUUGCUAAAUACCUUUCUACUCCUGUAUUAAUCAUUCUAUUUCUACACUCUACACUGAGGCCACGUUAAACGAAAAUGCACCAACACGAACCGAACAAAAACUGGAUGGUGUUAACAUGUAAAAAUCAUGAUUGCCAGAACAAUUCGAAGUCAGUGCUAUACAAAGAGCGAUCUUGAAUCUCCAAAUUUGCAACAUGCCAAUUUAUAAGCUGCGACUGGAUACAUUUACACAAAACCAAAGCAAAAGGAAAUAUCCACCAUUCACUUUCAUCCCUGCAUCCACAGCAAUUAAGGAGACAACUUUAGAACAUGCAUUUGCUGUUCAAAAUCGCACUAACUCCUUAAAUGAAAUUAUUGAGCACUGCCAAUGAAUUCUCUUACAUGUUCCAAGGCUGAAUGUACGGAAUUUUUCUCCUUGAUUGGGUGGUGUAACGGACAUAUCCACAAACAAAGGCAACAACCUGAUACAAGAAUUCAAAUUUUAACAAAUCAUUUAUCACAUGAAUUUGUAGCUAUUUUGUUUGUGUGUGCUCGUGUGUUGGGGGUUGGGGGAGGGGGGGAAGGGGGGAGGAGAUUGGAAAUGAUUACUCACAAGGAAAACUUAAAUAAGCAUAAUGGCAGAAAUAAAGUUAAAAAAUCAGAUGAAGCAUAUAAUAACUAAAAGAUCUGCAUCAACCCCCUGCCAUUGGUGCUAAAGAACGAUUCUAGAAUAAACAUUUACAAAAAUAAGCUACUUACAACAUUUAUCAGGGAUGUGACAUUCCACAAAGCAUACAGACGGGCAAGACUGGCUGAAUGUCUUGGUCCAUGACUGAAUAGAGCAUUGAUUCCAGUAGGGAAUGGAAGUAAGAUCCCCAAUGGUAGAAUAAACAAAAAGAGGAAGACAUCGGCCAAUGAAACUGAGUACAGCUGGAGCAUAGUCAACAAAACUAAGCUGAAAUCACCUAGAAGUAGCAUUGAAAUGACCAAACCAACAAGAUCCUGCAGUAAAGGCGCAAGGCAUGUUCAGCGAGCAAAUAGCACCUUGAAUAAUAUUAACAGCACGACAUGCAACAAAUACCAUCACAGACAGCAUCUAUGCAUGCAUUUGCAGAAAGAGAGAGAGAGAGAGAGAGAGGAGCAACUACCUGGUGGCCAACAGGUUUAGUGUUAUGCAUUAGAAAAGAGAGCGCAAAAAGUAUAUCUCUUUUCUCCUCAAUUUUCUUUAAGCAGUUGACAUCUAGAAUCCCACCAUAAAUCUUCCGCCUGACAUUACUUUCACUGCUUCUACGAGUCAGACCAAAGAAUGAAUCUUCUGUUAAACUGGAUGGAACUUCCCAAUUAAUAGUGCUACCGCUGUAUCGAGAAAAAAAAAGAGAGGGGGGGGGGGUGGAGAAGAAGUUAUGCUCAAGGGAUUUGGCAAAAGGGUUGGCAAAUAAUAUCUAUAAAUUUUCCGUAACCAAGAGUAAUUCAGCUGGAAAUCUGCACGUCUAAGAAGACUACCCCAAAGCAAAUAGUAUUAGAGUUCCAGGACAAAUAAAAAUCAAACAAUUUAACACUUUUGUAAAAUUUAUCUAGCUACCUACUACUAUCGGGCUUUUCCAGCAAUGCUUCAAUGUUACCAACUGAACUUUCGGCAGAUUAUAAUACAUGCCACUAUUAGUCACUUGACUGAGAAUGUUGGUUAAACAAACUAUUGAAGUACUCCAGACUUAGUCUUAGAUGCAGCAGUCAAAACCACCGGCACCUCCCAGGCCAACCUCAUCCCAAUAGCUUUCAUUUACUUAUAUCAGGGGGACUGCAGCAUGCCCUUGCAUUGUAAAAAUUACUCUCCUUAAUUUUCCCCUUUUUUUGGCAAGAUGGGUUAAGCAAUUACUAAGAGAAAGAAAUUUAGAAACUUAACCCCCCCCCCCAAAUAUGUUUUUCUUUUAAUAAAAAAAGUAUUUAUGAGCCUAGUGGGACGACAGAGAUGGCCAUGGAAGGGGCAGUCAUCGUUGUUGCUGGAUAAGGGUGUGGUCUUUUAGUCUGGAUUCUGAAUCUCCUAGAGACGCAAGUCACAUUUUUCUCUUCGGAUGAUGUGCUUUCAUGCCUGCACUAGUUUAUUUUGUAGCUUUUUAUAUUAGCUCUGUUGACUACAGAAUUUUUUGACAAUAUCAUACCUGCAAAAGAACUAACAAUCAUGUCCACUUGGAACACCUAUUUGCAUUCUUGACUUCUGAAACAAAUACUCAUGCAACUAACAUAAUCUGCUGGAAUGGUGUAGUAUAGAACAAUACCGUAACUGAGGCCCAGUCCUAAGAGCUCCAUCAAGGUCUUGAAAAGACAAACGUCCAGUAUCUCCAUCAACAGCAUCUAACACAAGCCCAUAUUGACAAAAACCACCAGUGGUAGUCUGAAACCAAGCAAGAUCUACAUGUAUGGCAUAGAUCUUUAAAGCAGGAUUGGCAAAAGUUUCCAGCCACUUGAAAACAGGCCGAAACGUCGACCUGAGGCAACCACGACGUACUAAGCGUAAUUGGGCAUUCAAACCAGCAACAAAUCGGAACCAUGUGGUAGGUGGGACAGCCUGCAUACUAAGAAUUUUGAGAACCAUACCUUAUUUUUGUGUAGAAAAGUUUAAUGAAUAGCACAUGUGAACAAACAGUGAAAUCAGUGCCAAGCCAACUUGCUUGAAGCUAAGGAGAAAGAAAAGCUCAUGCAUUGUAUUCUAGUGUAUCAAACAUCUCAAGGCAAUCAAAAUAUCACAUCAACCAUCCGAGUAAAAACAUCUUGCCUUUCUAUUUGCAAUUGAGGUUCAUUUACCUACAUCCAGCUAUAAACCUAAGCGGUAUAACACAACAAACCUGACUCAUAAGACUAGUGGUGAUAUUGUCACUGUGAAGUGAGAAGGGAGCCAUGUAACUUCCAUCACCUCCAAACAGCAAAUACAUAGGAAACCUUUGAUGAAGACGAGGAGGUAGAUCACUUCUUUUCUCAUCCCCACCAAGAAAGAAGUCCAUAUAUGCAAGCAUUAGGUCAGAUGUAGCAGCUACCUAAAAAUUGAAAAAGCUCGAGUAUCAAUUCACAUUUAGGUUGCUCUGGACAAUGGAAAUACUUUUAAUCAGCUAAACAAGGGUUCUGCAACAUUCGCUCCAAAAACAGUACUAUGUUUUGUAGUAAUGACAAUAGCUAGCCAGGCAACAGUGCUUUAGAAAGAAAUAAUGAAUAAACAAACAUAAGAAGCUAAAAAAGGAGAACAAAUAAUACACCACAAUUCACCUGAAGAAAAGCCAAGUCUUUAUUUUUUGAGGUGGCCUUAAGAAUCAAUUACAUCCAGUUUUGGAAAAGAAAUAAAAGCAGAAUGGCUAAUCAGCUUACUAUUUCUAUUGAAUUAGUAUCAUCUGUUAUUUACAACUUUCCUAUUGUAUUUACAGAAAAAAGUCAGAAUGUGGGAAAGCAGAGAGCUAGAAACAACCAAAUGAGUCAUAUCAAAGAGCUAGUAUGCAAUUAUUUCCAUCCAGAAAGCACAUUGUGCCAGAAGUUCCCCUGAUCAAAUCUCGUAUACUUAUCCAUUACUUCACCCAGCAAUUGAAAGAAACAACGAUAAAACAGACCUAUCAACAAUUGAAAACUUUUUUUCCUCGUACUAACUUUUCCCCUUACUAUUAAUUUCUCAAAGAUUAUGACUGUGAAUUGGAAGAGCCUAUGGAUUCUGCUUCCAGUCCUGGCCAACCCCCAAAACCACCUUCCACCCUUCAUCAAUAAUAUGUAUGUCCUUUUCAUAGGCUCCUAUAGUAAAUAAUUUGCUGACACUAACAAGGUAUAAUUGAAGCUCUAAAAUAUAGUAGUAUGCUGCUAAGUCAAAAGGAAACAUCCCAAUCAAACAAGGAAACUCCCAAAAGUGAACAAAAGAGCUGACUAAUGUCCAAUUGACCACCACAAAUAAGAGCAAAUUGAAAGACAUAUCAUAAUGCACUUGAACUCCUCAAGAGACUGAACAGAAUUAUGCAAAACAUGUAUAACUACCUAAAUUCCUCUUUUCUAUUGAGCAAAAAGCUAACCUUAAGCCCUUCAUAGAGAGCACGGGACCGACAAGAACGUAAACAAGCAUGAUCAUAUUCUGAUCUCACAAACUCACGGAGACGUUGUAACUUGAUCCUACGGCGCCAUUGCUGCCACGACCAUGCAAGAGGAUAUGCAACAAUACAUAGAAUGCUAUGCACUGAUCCUUCCCACCACUGAUAUGCUGCUAUAGCAUUGAUCUCAUCUACAAAUGUGUUGAAUGCACCUUCAUACCUACAAAUUCAAUUUUCAAAUGCCAAACAAUUUCAUCAUACUUUUAGUGAGCACUAAUCUAAGAUCUAAAAGAAUGUAGAUCUAAAAAAAAUCCCAUCCACCAACUGCAAAGCCCAGAAGAGGAAAUUUCGGAAACAGAGAGAUGACAAACAUGGGUCCUCAGUAUGUAUAAACAAAUUAAUAAAACCAAGGCUUGAUCUCGGAUAUAAAUAUAUUUGGAAUGCAUUCGGACCAGAUGCAUAACUAUAAGAGAACUACAACAGGCCUUAAACUAAAACUUACACAAUUUCUUUUAUUUCUUCAGGAGGUGUAUGAGGAAGAUGCCAGGGUUCACCAAAAGUAUUAGGACCCAGAAAAUACAUUCUAUGUACGUGACUCUGUGACUCCUCAACUCUAUUCGUCUCCAAAACCUGAAAGUUUUGACAUGUAUCAGACUUUUAGUCCUUUCAAUGCUGGCUGAAAUUGUCUAGAUAUUAGAUCAGUCACAAUCUUGUUAUAGUAUUUUGAGUCCAUACAUCAGUCAUUAUAGCAAGAUAGGAUAAUGCAAUGUCAUCCAGAGAAUACCUCAUUAAGUGACUCCAGGAAUGGAAAUGAAUGAUCAAUUUGGGAGCCAUGCCGUGUGGGCCCAGGACCUGGUAAUUCAUCAACCCCAACAAACUUCAUUCGUGCAACGCUGAGGACCAGGGCUAAUAAAAUGAGGAGACCCAAUAGGAGAAGACCAAAAAGCCAAGGCCCUCCAAAUGUGUAUAUCAACUCCUCAAGGGCAGUGUAACAGUGAGGCAUGUGAUACCUCUCUGAAAGACAUUGAUAUGGACAAGGUGUUUCAGUAAUGCCGCCUGCAGUAGGGAUGUGGUGAAACAUUACAUUAGCACAAAAAUUAAAAGAUCAACCUCACUGCCACAACCAAAUGUUCGCUUAAACACCUUUACCUAGAAGCAAAAUGAGGGAUACAUUUACAGUCCUACCCUCUUUAUAAAACUCUUAAGACUUAUUUUGAAAAAGAAAAAAAACUCCAAUAAUACAUUCCCUAAACUGAAAUAUUUGCAUCUAUACGCAUUCGCAAGCAUUAAAUAUGUUCCACUAGAAUUAACAAAGCCAACAAAAUCAAGACUCACUGGUGAAACAGCUCCACCCUCCAUUGCGAAAAGACAGUAUAUUUACAGGAACAUAAAUUUUAUGAAUGGGGAGAGAUGUCAGUAGAUCAUGUUUUGCUUUUCAAAAUUUAUCCAAGUUUGCCCACAUAGGUUCCCCCUCCCCUCCCUCCCCCCACUCCCCCCCCCAGGGGCUGCCCAAAUGAGGCUGAUGAAACACGAAACCCAACAGAUAUAUAGGUUUGUUUGGAUUGCUUCAUAUUUCCCCAAUUUUAUUUGCUUGCAUCAUCUUUACAAUUUCCAAUACACCUUUUUAUCUUCCCAAUAUCUUUUUAUCUCACAUACAUCACAUCACAAAAAGUGCUACAGUAAAAAUAUCCCAAAUAAUCCCAAAUAACUUACAAUCCAAACAGACCAAAUUGCAUGCACCAUUUGAGGUUUAGGCAAAUGCAUGCACCACUCAACUGACACAAUGCAUAUAUAUAUGCCAUUGUAAGCACUGAAAAAUUCUCUGUUCUUGGGCCCACAUAAGGAAAGGUAAAAGUUGGAGGGUGUUAAGCUAAUAUCUAUUUCAGGAUAAACCAAAAUAAAAAGCAUGACGAGUUGAUGUGAGGGAGGGAGUAAAUGGUUUUGAUAAUAAAUCAUCUCCUGAAAAUCAGGCUUAUGUCUUGUGCUCCACUACAGCCAACUUUCCCCCCUAAAGUGCCUCCGGACUCUAAUUUUCUAUAGAUACUGUCCCCAAAUUCUCAGGCCAAAUGAAGAUGUAAAGUUCCAAAAUAAGUUAAAAGUCAAGAGCGAACUCCAGGAACAAAUUAGCCGCGAAAGCAAAAAACAAACACAGAGGAUCACAAUUCCCAGGCAUUGUAUAAGUACCCAUAAUUUGUCUAAUUCUCUGAAUAGCAUCAAUGGUAAUUGCAGUUAAAUUGUAUAUAAACCUAUGCAGCUCAUCAAAUGUGUUAAAAAAAAUCAAAGGCAUUAUACAAGAAAUACCUCGGACUGAAACAUAAGUAGCACGAUGAGGAAGCUCAUUCGUAGGGCAUGGGAAACAGAGAGAUCUAUCAGAUCCUGAUACAUUCUUAUAUGUGCCAGCUGGACAUUCCUGUAGAAUCACAAAAUAUGAUAUCCAUGAAUUAACCAACAAAUGGGAUGGCAGUUCCAAGAACAGAAAUGAAAUAUUUUCAGAAAGUUCUCUUUCUGCUUCAGGUUUGAACCUUUGGAGAUCAAUAUAAUAAAGAACAAAAAGGUCGAAAACCAUGUAAACAGUAUGAUGUGAGAUUCAUUAAAUAGCCAAAUCCCCCCCCCCCAAAAAAAAAAACUUUUGUUCAGUCUACAGAAAAAUAUAUACUUAGUUUCUGGGUAAUGUACACACUAAAAAGAAAUGGAAGCAACAAGUAUAAAACAUAUUUGACUCAGAAGCAAACAGAAAAUGAACGAUGGCAGAAAAAAGAAUGCUUCAAAAAAUAAUUAUGCUGACAAUAUCACAAGAAAUUACAAGAUUAACAUACCUCACAAAAUACUCCAAAAAGACCUUUUGGACAAGCUUUCCCAGUAAUGGUUCCAGCUUCCCCAGCAUUACAUUGGUCCACCCCAAUCCCACCUCUAAAGUAGAAGCACACUGGUUAAUGUACUUUGAGGCACAAUGAACUAGUAGUAAAGAAACUAAUCAAUCAUCACCUUUCACAAUUAUGAAUUAAUAAAAGAUUACAGAAAAACAAGAAUCUGAAACUACUUGAAGGCACAAUCAGCAGAUACCAAAGAAACUGGCCCUGCUGUUUUUUAAAUAAAAAGAGUCUUCAGCCACAUGAAAGAUGUCAGCAAAUGGAAAUGAAAGCUUGGUACUUACUACAUCUGAGUGGGUAUGUACAAAAGACGAUUAGACCUGAUAGUGAGAAACAUCUUGACAACAAUUUAACAGGCAACACACUAAUCAUAACUUUACCCUCAUGGAUGGAGUGGCAACUGGGUUUUUGCAGUCUCCUUGAAAAUCAAGGAUCAUCAUGGUUAGGUAUAAAGCAAAAAUUCAUGAGAAGAAGAAUCAUCAUUCAAACAGUGGGUUGCAGCAUUGAAGUGGGAGACAGAAUCAUAUAUUCGAAACAUGCAAGGCACCAAUUGCGGAAUCUUCAGUUUGGUAUUGACUUCUUGAAGCUACAUCUACCGAAGUCGAUAUUAAAAAUUUUAGAAAUUGCAGGGAAAUUAUCAGCUGCAUGCAAAUUGUGUAAGAAAAACUAUGGGCUUCAUUUUGAUAGCUUCCUAAAAUAAAUUCAAAAGAUGUCCAAACCACAAAUAAACAUCUCAGUUGCAUAGAGGUUCAGAUUGUGGGGGUUAUCCAUGCUUCACCUGCAUUUUGUUCUCGUGUCAAACUUUGUUCACCAAUUUCAUUAAUUUUCUAAGACAACAUUUUAGCAUACAUAUCUCUUUGUCUGGACCUAAACUAAAAUUAUUAAUACAUUAGCACCACAUCCUCAUGUUUUUUACGACAGUGAGGAGCAAAAUAUCUGCCAAAAGUUGGAGACAACCACCUCAUCUGGAAGUUAUAUCAGAAUACCACACAAGUCCAAUGUGGCAGCAACUAAAUUCAACGAGAGAUUGUAGAUCAUGCAUCACAAAAAAAAAUGUACAAUUACUAUUUCCACUAACCUGGCCAGGAUGCUUCCAUUUACAGUAGCUAUGGGCUGAUACAUGUCUCCAGUUGGAAUAUCUGACCAAUGGAAGUGAAUUCUCCCCCCACCACCUCCACCACCACCACCAACACUGCCAUGACCCCCAGCACUAGACAUAGCACCAGACUCACCAAGGUCCAGGGAAUGCAAAAACAGUAAGAUUGUUCCACCAGAACCUCCCCCAGGAUGGAAACUGUCUUUGCUUUUCAACUGUCCUCCAGAACCGUCUCCAUCAGCUUUAACCGAACCUUCAACAGAUAAACCUACCAGUGGAUGCUCCCACGAACCCAUCACUGCAUGAAUCAAGGGGAAAAAAAUGAAUAAUCAAGGAAGCAGUGCAACACAGACGAGAUCAUUUCAACAUUCAGAAAGCCAUGCAUAAACUUCAAAGACACAUAUUUCAAUGAAAUUGUCAGCAGUAUAAGCUGUUCAUUUCUCCACUCACAAGAAAUUACAGAUUUAAAAGAUCUUCAUUAAACAAAUCAGAAGGAAAAUUUUAAAAAUAAAUAAAUAAAUACUUGAAAAAUGACAAGUAAUAGUCUAUUGACGAAGCUACCAAAAACUAUAGAUGGUUUAUUAAGCUUGCAAAUUUGCAGAGAGACCGAAACGAUUAAUUCAUGAGGCCUGCAAAUGGCAAGAAUCUCCAUCUCAACACAAAUGCAUUAUUAAGCUUGCAAAUGGCAAGUACCUCCUUAACUUACUCAUAGUACCAGGUUUCAAAGAAGAAAGAGAUGGGUACUUUCCACCUCCCUGCGAUUCAGUAGCAGACCGUGUAAUAGAAGCAAAUACAAUCAGAAUCUUAAAGUUCACAACAAAUGUAACAUUUAAAACAAAUAAAAAAACUUCACUGGGUAAUUUUCAAAAUAUGGUCUAAAUAGGAAACACAUUUGAAAGGUUAUAUGGACUAAUUUGCAACAUUGAGAACAAGAAUACAAUCCAGCAAGAAAAAAUGAGCAAGUUCUAAAACCAAAAGUUAUGGAAACAUGUAGAUGUAGAUGCCGACAAUGAAACUGAAGUACUUUUAGCUUUACAAUAGUUUAAAUAUAAAAAAUCACUGUUAUUCAAGCAAAACAUACAUUUUACUCAAACUCUGUUAAUGAAAAUUUCUGUAAAUAUAACUAUCAGGUUAAUGGCAUAAUUCUUACCCAAGAUCAACACACAAAACUAACUCCAAUGCUGCUGCAAGUAAAAUACCUAAUUCCUAAUGGGAGAAAAGUCCUAGGAUGUACACAAUGAACCAAACAAACUAUGACUAGAAAAACAGGUUGAGUUCAGCAAUAUGUUUAAGCAUCCUGUGCAGCAGGAAAAUCUGACAAGACCCCUUUCUUCAUUCAGCUAUAUGGAGACUACAGAUUUCCUGGAAGGAACACUUAAUGCUUGGGUAACCAUCUCCCAAAUUUACAAAGUAUAUCCAUUAAAGUAUUAAUUGUCUCAUGUGAUGUUUCUAACAGUACACACAAUUGCUUAGAUUAGUCUCCAAAGUGAGACAAUCACAAUUUGAACUCAAUUAAAUACCAAGAAGCUAAGAGCCAAGAAAACCAGUUAUGCCCACAAGUCAGAAUUCAAAUACUGUCAUCAUUUUUUGACAGCAUGCUUCCAAUUUGGUUAGACAAAAUUUGAAAUUUUUAACGCAGUAUGACCUUCUGGUUCCUGUUGGCUCAUUUUUUAAAUAAAAAUGAAAGAGUUUCCCAAAGUGCUACAACAUCAACAUUUGGACCAAAGACAGUCCACUUUAGAGAGAUGAGCUGACCUAAAAUGCCACCACCAGCAUUUGCACUAGUUAGGCUUUCAUUUCCACUCCCACUUCCCAGCUCACAAGGUAAAUUAGUAUCCCCAUAUGACAUACCCCCCUCAAUGCAGCUAUUAUUGAAGCAUCCCAUUCCACCUCUACCACCAUGCCCACCACCACUGCCAAUACCACUAUCUGAAAAUGUCCCUUGUCCCACACCUCCAAUGCAACCUGAGGAACAAAAAACAUCACUGGUAAGGCCCUGGAACAAUAAUAAACCACAUGUAUGCCAAAUUCGCAAGGUUUUGAAAACAGAUUCAUUUUCAUGCUAAAUACAGAUGACGAAGGGCCACGCCAAUCACACUCAAAUGUUAAAUAAUGGCCACCUGAUGGCAAGGUAGGAGAUACACUUUGAAUAUGGUAAUUAAAAAGGAACUCAGAUGCAAUUAUACCCAUCCCAGUUGUGCUUAUUGUUCCAGAAGAAGGAACACUAAUAGUUCUGGCUCUAUGGAAAUGAACAACAGAUCCUAUCACGAGGCCUUCAACAAGGAUAUCUUCAACUCGGCAAAUCUGCAGAGACAAACCAACUUGAGACCUCACGGAAGUGAAAAGAACUAUAUCCCAAUAGAAUGCAGAACAAGAAAAACUCCACCUGAAGAGUGAAAGACAGUGAAGAGUUCACAUUGCAAUCUUCGGGUGGAUGGAGGAGUUCAACUGGACAAUCAUUCUGAUCACAAUGCAACUUUGGUGUCCUAUAAAAGAACAACACAAAUAUAGAUUAAAAUAGUUGCAUAUUUGAGAUAUUAUGCAACAAUUAUUCAACUUACACAGCUUCAGUUGAGGCAUUCUCUAAAGGACCACGUAAAACAGAUCCAGGACCAACCUGUAUCCAGAAACAGAAAAGUCAAAGGAGUCAACUGAUAUUGUAUAAAGUAUUUUGUACACACUUCUGGAAAAAACUACAAUGCAACUUUAGAGUUAAGCACAGAUAUUAGCAGUAUAUAAUAGUUUAACCAAAAAAAAGAGCAAUGCAUCCUUCAACUUACUUUGAUUGUGCAUAAUUAUGCAAGAGUAGAAACCUUUUUGUAGUCAAACACGUAUUUAAGCGAGAGGCAUAGUCACAUAGAUAGAUGUUUGCAUGCAUGUGUUUAUACACAAACGCAUGAGAGAGAGAGAGAGAGAAAACUAACAAAAUAGCAUACAAUUCCAACUUUGACUAAACCAGGGAAAAGAGUAGAAUAGCAACCUGAAAGGCUUAAAACCAAACAAAUGAGCCACGCAGUAUUUGGAUCUAACCAAACAUCUUGUUCUCACCAUAGGCACUACUUUUUUUUUAAAUAACUUUACGUAAAACCAUCCAACAUAUUCAAUCUCAUGGAUGCUGAAGGUAAUGAAUGAAUAGAAAUAUCAUGCCACAAAUUGCUUACAUGUAUACUAUAAAACAACGACAAAACCAGGCGUUCUGCUUCAAUGCAAUCUCCUGGUCCAGACAAAUUUAACAAACCUUGCCCGUGCACCCCUAGAUUAGCAUUGGAGUGAAUAAUAGAUGACUCCUGUUAUGGAAGCCAGGAAGAGGGAAAUUAAGAAAAGGUCAAACAAGUCAUGAGGAUCCAAAGCAAGACGGCAUACCAGUAAACUGAAGUAGAAUAACUAGAGCACCUUAAGAACAAUAAGAUUACUAGCUUCAAGCAUUGAGGUUUCAACAUUUUCAUCUCCUUCACCAUCAAUUAGCAUUCUCGAAUUCCACAUCAGAAACAUUUUAACAGACAUACGAAGAGCCCCAAAAACCUGAAAGGCCAAAAAAAGGCGAUCAUACAAGGCUACCUACCAAAUUAAAUAAAAGUAUUCUAGCGAGAUCAAAUUGCAAAAAGAAUAUGGCCAUGUCAACCUACAAGAGGCCACGUGCAAACAAUGCAUAAAAACUUCUGUAUUCAAGAAUAAUGAAAAAAACCAAAUUGUUAAAACAAAAAACCCAUGUUAAGAGCACAUCUAGAAUGAAUUGUACUACUCCAUCCACAUUUAUUUUGUCAUGGUUAUGAUUUUUUUCUGUUGCAUAGUCACUCUGUAAUGAUCUGAAACACAAGUAAAUAACCAUUUACCUAUAUAGACUUCCUUCAAGAUUUCUGCAGUGAAGAUCAUGAGAAAUAAACAAACACAUUACUUGAGGCUUAAUUAUGAAAAAUCACUUUUCCAACUAUUUUACCUUCAUCAAACAUAAAUUUUCCUUACUCUGUACCCAAUCAUCACCGUGACCAUAAAAUGGGUCAGCCAGUGCUUCAUCCAUCGCAACUUGGAUGUCUACUUAGAGUUUUAGGACUGUCCUUGACUUAGUUUGCACAACUAAAGAUGGGGACUACCUAAAGCUUCCUCAAGAGGGCCUAUAUGAUAUAUCACAACUCCACAUAGAACUGGUAGACUGCAGCAUGUCCUGGCAAUAGAGCUUGAAACGAAAAACAUGGACAAGAAUUCAUGCUGCAUUAAGUGCACAGAAUUUUAUAACUGCAUGCACCCGCUAAGUCUACAAGAACUUUAAACCAGUAGAAACACGACCACACAGAGAGAAAAAUGAGAAUAUAUGUCUAAAAACAACAGAUAAAGGGAGAAAAGUAGAGGAACAUGCUUCCAAAAAAUUAAUUGCAGGAGAAUCAUUUCGAAACACACCAUCUCAUCAUAUCAGUAUGAUACAACAAAGAAAACAUAAAAUGUUGCCAGUAUCCAAUGAAAAAGAAAAAGGUUACCGCUACCUUAAUAACAGAAUCACUCAUUAACAGUUCUUCUGCCAAUAUUUCAAAUUCUGACAUAGAAUAAUGUGCCAAUCCAAAGCUCAGUUCUCCACCAGACAAGAGGCUAAUUUGCCCUUGGACCUAAUACAUAAGAAUUACAGAUACAUCAAGUACUUGAAUAAUUCAAAGGAAAAAAGCAGAAUAAUGUACUGAAUAUCCACUGACAGUCAAUGCAUUAGCUUCAAUUCCAAAAGCUAAUAAUAACUGAAAAUAAUCAUAUCUGCAGAUAUAGAAAGGCACACAUGGCCUAGGACACAAAUAGCAGAACAACAUACAAAAUAUCCAAUGAGAGAACCAAUACAUUACAUUAGUUCCAAAGUAUAUAAUAGCUGAAAGUAUUCAGAUCUGCUAACACAGAAGGCACAUCACAAACAGAACAAGGCACGCGUAGGCAUGGACAUCGCUAGUGCUUGAUUUGACUUUCCACUUUUAUUUGAUGUCAAUUUGUCUCCUUAUUAUCCAAAAGAGUUUUAAGAUAAAUCUGAACAAAUAAAUAGGUUCUGACUAUGUCACUAAGAAAGUAAGAAAGACUAAAUUUAUAGACCUGAACACGACUCCAAAGCAAGGGAACAGAGGCCUUGGCCUGAUUUUGGAUGUAGAUAUUUGUCAAAAAUGGUUGAGGAAAGUCCAAAAGAAGUGUGUCUGUAUCUGUAGAUUUGUUGUAAUUGUCAAUAGUAAGACUGCGCGGAACAGCAUCAUAAAUGCUCCCCGCUGCACCAGCGUUUUCUUGGCAGCCACGACUGCUUCCUCCUGUAAGAACAGAAAUUAACUCAGCAUGCACACUAAAUCCACAUUCCACAUUUAAAGCUGGGUAAAUUUAAGGCAAUAACCAGCAAAUUAUUGUACUCAUUUGAUGUUUUAGAUCAAAACAGGAACAAACUCUCAUCCACUUGUUAUCCUAUUCAAGGCAUAGCCCAGGCUGAUGAUGACAUAUCCAAGCAAGGCCAAUUCUAAGAGACCAGAGAAUGUACAGUAGUAUUACAACCAGACCACGGAAGACCAUUGCUUUCAAAAAAGCCCAAAAUAAGCUACCAACAAACAGGUUAGUAGUAUAUGCAACAAAAAUUAUUCCCAAAAAAAGGGGAGAGAGAGUCUAUGAUAAUCCCUCAAGCUAUGUUACUUGGACUCGGCUACUGACUCCUGCCGACAUGGUUACUCUAGUGCAAAAUGAUGAGUCAGAUAUGGGUACAGCAGGGAAAAGUGAAGAGUCUGAGUAACAUAGCCCCCCAGCCUCGUUACCUCAUCAAUUUUAUGACAAAACUUCCCAACAGAUUAAUUUGGCUAUACAAAAGUUCCAAUGAAAUGAACCCCUUCUCUAAUCUCUUUUCACCUCUCACAAAUAUAGACUUGUCAUCUCUGGUAAAUACUAGAUGGCCAUAUGUGUAGAAACCUGUUGCUGUCAACAAAUAGGAUGAAGAAAAAGCCUCCCCAAUUGCUCCCUUUUUAGGGUUUACCACAACGGAUAUAAGCAAAAUAUCGAGCUAUAAACAAAUAUAUCACAGGUUCAACCUCCAAUAAUGCCCUUCAAUGCAUUCAAUUUAUCCUGAGCUUCAACUCUAAAUUAUAGUACAGAAAAAGCCAACAGGAUCCAAUUUAGAUAAUUAAGACAGAAAUAAAAGCCCCGCGUUUAGGAAAAAAGCAACUAAGGAUAGAAAGAUCUGCAACAUUAUUAUUACAGAGGUGAGUAGCAUAAAAAGGAGACUGAUUAUCUAGCAAUCAAAAAAGUGGACAUCAGAAGAAAAGUCAAAUUGCAGAUAUAGUAUUUUCCAGCACUGAAAGAACUAAUGAAACUUCAAACAAUUAUGGAUAAAGAGCAAUAUCAUGUUUGGCUUACAGCUUGGAAAACUUUUACCACAAGAAAAUCAUAUUAUGAAUCAUACCAUAUGCAAAAAUCUCCGGAUCCUCAUGGUGGCUAAAAACAUCAACAGAUACUCUUCCGCCACCUCCACCAGCAAAGCCAUUACCUCCACAUGCACUGAUAUAACCACUCCCAAUCCUAAACUUGCAAAAAUUGUUGUACUUUAGAAUAAAACUACAUUAUCAAUACUCAUGAGUACUAAAGGUGCUAAUAAAUUGAUUAUAACUCACAAAGAUAAGAAUAAUUUCAGAAACCAAUAGCAUAUAUGAGAAAGUAAUUGCAAAAAUUUUGGCUUGUGUCAUGACAGCUAAGCCACAAUCCUAUUAUUCCUAUUCAAUAAGUUGGACCCAAAAAAAAAAAAAAAAAAGCAUCAGAGAACCAAUAAAAGAUUAUUAUUCAAUAGAAUGACAUUCUCCAGCAAAUAGACAAAUAUUUUAGAUAAUUAUAUGCACAAAAGAACUCGUAAAAUGGAUAGAUAUGGACUGUGACACAAUUACAUGACAGUAAACAGACCAUGUACAAUUCUAGAUUAUUAGUGAACUCAUCCACUCUAUGAACAAGAAACAUUGUGCUUGAAACACUGAUCUAGAUCAUAUUAGCAUAUCCCUAGAACCAAAAAUCGUAUGUCAGGAACCAUGAAAUAUAAUGGGUAUGUUUGGAUUGCAAGACUUUCAAAUAAAAAUCUCAAAUUUUGUUUUGCUUGCAUCAUACACACAAUUUCCAACGACCUUUUUAUCUCACAUACAUCACAUCACAAAAAGUGCUACAGUAAUUAUUUCAAAUAACCUCCUAUCCAAACAAACCCAAUUUAUCACUACUGCAAUGCAACUGUUUAGCAGCCUUAUACAGUAACUAUAACAAGUAUUAGCAUCAACAAAGUCGUUUGAAGAUUAAGUUCUACUAGAAUUAGUAAAAACACAAAUAAAAUUGAAAAAAAUAGAACUAAGAUAAUAGGUAAAACUCAAAUUCUCAUUCCGAAUUACACUCUGUUCAAAAAAAGCAAUGGGUUUAUAGCAAAUUCUCAUUUCUCCAGGACGGACUCCAAAAAUACAAAGUAUUGCAAAAGACUCCAAACCCACUUCAUGACAGGCUGUCAGCUUGACUGGGGCAUUAGCUUAGUGUAGCUUUUGAAGGGAAGUUCCCCUCCCACAAAGAAAAUCCAGAUGCCUCCCUCUCUCCCCCUCUCAAAUAGUCUUCAGCAUGCAAUAGACCAAACCAAUUGAUACUAAUGCACAUAACAGGAGAGCUCCUAUUGAUAUUUAGUAACAUGCAGAAUACAAAUUUCCAGUAUAAAGAAAAAGGACAAUAUAUAGCGAGAACUGAAAUGGAUUUGACAAGUGGCAAUAUAAGUUUUUGCAAAUGUUGUCCAGAAAUCAACCAAGAUACACCAGUUUCAUGGUUGAACGCUUAUAUCCAGCUAUUUACCAUGCACUCGCAAAGAACCUGCAUUAGAAGAAAUUACACUUUCCUGUGCAUAUUUCACAAUGUUCUCAAUAUCUGUUUUCCACUUUUAUAUGCUAAAAGGUAUUAAACCAUAAGUAACUUCUUUUAUUUUCUACCUUAGUAUUGGGAAUCUCUAUCCCUGAAGUUCAUCUACACGUGUAUGAUUUUUUCCACUUUUCCUUGCUCUAGUUCUUAUUAAUUUGGAGAUAACAUUUGUUAUUCAUUUUUGGGAGGGCAAAAAACCCAUAUGACCACUGCACCAAUCCUAUUCCAAGAAAAAACCUUGUAAAACAAUCUCUCUACACAUCAGCAUUGCCCCAACCUAACAAAAUUCCUCAUUGUAAAUUGUAAAAAUCCAAAUCCCAGUGAAAUGCAGUAAAGGGGAACACCACAAAACUGGCCAAAAGCUUAAGCAGUUUAACAGCAGUUAGAUGCUUUCACACCACCUCAAAAACAAGACCCUAAAGUAUGUGUCAGGAUCAGUAAAAUUUCAAGGCUAUUAAUGUCAAGCUUAAGACCUAGCACUAAUCACAAUUGUCAAUUAAAAAAGACGAGACAUAGUUGACCAUUGAUACAUCGUUUUAGGUUGAUUACGACGUUACCAAUUAUGCGAACAACAUAACUUCCAAAUGGAUCUUUCAGCUUGCAAAACAAAGAAUAUUUUAUGCAUGGCCUUAUUGUUUACCUACAUAAUACCUGAGCAGUUUAUUAAUGCGAUUUGUUGUUAAGCAAUGUUAUGUAUCCUAAAUGACUCUAGAAGAAUGAGGCUGUAAAUGAAAAUGCUUGGCAUUAAAACCGUAUCAGCUCCGGUCCAAGCUUGUAACUGAGUAUUGGGUGGUUCUCAAUGGCUUCUGAUUUUCAGAAGCAAAAUCAGAAGGCAGAAAAACCUGCUAUGCUGCUUCCGAUUUUUCAGAUUUUUUGCCUCAAAAAAGGUGUGAACAGGUAUUGGAAAGCAAUUGAGAACUUUAAAAUAACAGCUUUUCCAGAAUCAAGAGCUACAAUCAGGUAUUGAAAAUCAAUUUAGAACAAAUCACUGUCCUUUAGACAAGUCCAAUAAUAAAACUCAAAACAACCCUCAAAAAAAAAAUUGAUCUUGAAGUUGACAUCCAAAAUGAUAACAAUUAUAAGCCCAUAGCUUUAGCAAGUUUAUAUUACAAAAAACCUUGCGUAGGUAAUCUCUGCUUAACUCUGCUGGGUUUACACCUGUAAAGUGAAAAAACACAAAAGACGGAAACCUGACAAUAAUUCAAAGUCUUGCAAAGGAGGGAAAAGGAAUAAGGAAAAUGUACUGUCUGUCUGAAAACUGUAUUUAAGUGCUGGAAGUGAAUGAAUCGCAAGUUUUUACAUUCAUCCUGAGCAAUAUGAUACUUUUCCGAUCAAUUGAUACACUAAGCACCAGUUCUUUUUUUUCCCACAAACCAAAAAAAAAAUCACUUAACUUUUUAAACAGAUAAAGCCAUGAAUGAAUUGUGAGUUUGUUAUAUUCAUCCAGUUCAACAUGAUACUUUUCCAAACAAAUAAUACACAAAGAACCAGUUAUUUUUUUAUAGAAACAAAAGAGAAUACCACUUAAUUUGUUGAACUGUUUAACAGUCUAGCUUUUUGUCACUCGGUAAUGUUUAAAAAAUAACUCAGACACACACACAACCUCCUCUCAUGCAGAAUGCCAAAAUAUCCCCUCUCAUACUGCCCCCCAACACCCCCCCCACCUUCUGUCUCUCAAAUACAAGAAAAAUUGUAUUAUGUUUCUGACAGUAUAUAUGACUGUUCAUCAGAACACCUUUGUUCUGAGGUCUAAUUAAAAUAAGUUCAUCAUAUGCUACUUAUUUACAUUUAUUAAUCAAAUAGCUUUCUCCUAUAAUAUUUGAUUACUCAUAUAUUAAUGGACCAACUAUGGCAUUCAAAAAGUAGAAGUCUAUUGAAAAAUAGAAAACUAAAUUAAAAGAAGAAGAAGAAGCAGAAGAAUAGCUAAUCAAGAAGAUAAAAUAAACACUAACAAUCUAAAUGAAAAGUAACGAAUAGCUAAUCAAGAAGAUAAAAUAAACACUAACAAUCUAAAUGAAAAGUAACAUUUAAAGAGAAGCUAACUGGACGUCUCAAAGAAAAUUCACAUACAGCAAUCAUUCUUAAGUUAAAUUGAAGUAUUUGCCACAUUGAUUUCUCAACUUAGGCUGCCAUAUUGGUUAACAGAAGGUUAUGGUUUCAUUUUUAUCAGCAACUUGAACUGCCAGCAUUUAAAAUAACUUCCAGAUUCCAAUGUUUCAGCUUUUAACUUUAGGCAAGAAUAUAAGCAAGUUCUCUUAGCAAGCCUAUCAACCACUGCCAACUUGUUGGAUAGAGAUCAGCAUGCCAAGGUGUUUCCAAAAGAGAAAUGCCCCCUAACCACUUAAUGUUCUUCAUUUUACUUAAAAAGCCAAUAAUCUAGCAGAGAAACCAAAUAAGCCAGAAAACAUUAAUGAUUACUACACAGUCAAGCUAAAAUCAGAGUUUCAGGUAGCGAAAAAGUUGCUUUUGCAGGCAAAUGGGAUUUACAUAGGUUGAAAAGAAUUAAAAUUAUGAUGACAACAGCAAAUAAUAAUAAUAAAUGCUUGAGUUUCAAGAAACAACAGCCUUCUACAUUCUCUUCAACCUAUGAGCAAACAAUACCAUAAUCCAAAGCUUAUAAGACACUCCAUGCUAAAACAAACUUAAUCAGCCCCAAAGAACAGGAUAUUAGUUAACAUAUAACACUUUGAAGUUUUCAUUCUUUUAACAAACUCAAGGAAAUUUGAACUUCCAACAAUGAUUUUACUCCGUCAUUCUUUGCAUGAACCACCUCCAAACAAUCCUUUUAAAUUCAAAUUGAGUGAAAUCCCAGUUUUCCUUUGAUUCCUUGUGUUCCUAAUCAACGUAAAGGAUGACAUUAUUUGUAUCAUUUACAGAAAAGGCUCAAAUGAUGACUCUAAUGAUAACAAAAGGAGUUCGGCUCACCAGUAAAAUUUAAAAACAAAAGAAGCCAAAGGAGAAAUAUGUAAACCUAAAUCACCCAGAAAACAAUGAUCCGAAGACAAAAUCCCUAAAUGAGGGUCAAGAAAAGUGCAAUAAAACAAAAUUAUAUACAAUUUUCUGUCUUCAAUUCUCAUCAGAUUCUAAGUCAAAUUCAACAAUUCCACUAAGUGCAGCAAGGAGAAACCACUUAUAUGGAUUUCCAAGUGUACUCCAAUAUUAACAACAUUCUGAAUACAAAGUAUGAAUGUGGAUGCAACUACCAAUUGAUAUACAUAAUAAAACCAUAAAACGUGGUAAAUCUACUCACAGAGUCUACACAUAUUAAGAAAACGAAAACAAGUUUUUAAAGGCCAAACGCAAGUCUACAUGCUAAGUAUUCUCUGUCUUUUCAACUCUACAAUCUAAAGUAGACGUUUCUACAAAAUCCAAUUAAAAAGGCAAAGAGGAGAAUAGUUACAUCUUAAAGGCCUUGAUGUAGAUGCUACCACCGGACCCGCCUCCUCCUUUGCUUCCUCCAUCACCACCGUCAGCGAGCAAGCUCCCAUUAACUUCCAAAAGCUUAAGCACUUUCAUUUGAAUUAUCCCACCUCCACCCCCACCAUAAUCCACCUCCCUGUUUGUUGUCCCACCUUUGCUCCCAUAGCUACAAGGAUCCUGCAAAUAUGACCACCCAUAUGCAUCCCCACCCCAUACAUCAUCUGGAAGCUUCUUCUGGUCCAACAAACAAGCCGCACCUCGUCCCCCAUAACCCCCACCAGCACCAUCCACCCCCUGGGGUGUCCCGCUCGUCUGGGGAGGAGGAUCACCGGCUAAACCAGUAGUAUUCACAACUGACCCAUUCGAAAAAGUAGCAUUAUCUGCCGUCAAAUCAAAAGUUCCAGCAAAAAUAGUCGAAUUCUGACCCAAAGUAAAGUUCCCAGAGACAUUUAUCACUAGCUCGCAACCCGGAAACAUGCAAUUAACCGUAAUAUUGGGAAGAAUAUUAAAAUUCCCCUUCCCUUGUAUAUACACGUUAUCACUGAUAUUCAAAUUAGAAACUAUAUUGCAAGUAGUAUCUAACGAACCAACUCCUCCGAGAUCAGCUUCGCAAGUCACCGACGGCGGAUGAGGAGGCGGUGGCGGUGGCGCCGGAGGUGAGUAAUCCCGGUGAAACAAGAAUGAAUCGAAGUCGCCGGAGUCGUCAUCUAAGUCAAAAUCGGCGUCUCCGCCACCGUCCUGGACUAAAGUACCAUAACCGCAGCUAGGAAUCGGAAGCAAGCCUAUUAUUAGUAUCACCACUAAGAGUAAAGUGAAAGAAAGUACAGACAUGUCAAAAGGUGAAGAAGACGCCAUUGACUGAUGAAGAUGGGAAUAUUCAUCAGAAAUGAUGGUUGGGAGAGGGAGAAAUGGAUUGCAUCGGUGGAAUUUUUUGCUCGAAAACAAAACCCACCAGAAAAGUUUAUUAGUUUUUCGUUCCAAAUGCGGUUUAACUGUUUGAUAUAUGCCGGUGCGGAUGGAAAAAAGUGGCGCUUUGGGAACGGAGAAUGCCCUAGAAAAAGGGGUUUCUGGUGAGGAGCCAAAGACAACUACUCCCUAGCGGAUUCUGCAGGGCGAAGAAAAGAGGGAGGCAGUUUUUGGGGAAAAUUGAACAUGAGGAAAGCAAAAGAGAGGGCAAUAAAGGUAAAGGGUUAAGGGGGCGACUGAUUACUGAUUAGAUAGGGGACU
Molecule: long non-coding RNA, 64209 nt
Filed under: Coffea arabica (coffee)
Lineage: Eukaryota; Viridiplantae; Streptophyta; Magnoliopsida; Gentianales; Rubiaceae
Description: long non-coding RNA (CARA_LNC006079)
Source: RNAcentral